UGUCUGUCUGCAUUGCACAGGGGAGGAGGAGGAGGGAAGGAAGGAAGAGCAGCAGGAGGAGGAGGUGAUAUGUUGCAGGCUGCCAGAUGCUGGCUUGCAUUGUUGAUCUGCUGCUGAAAUACUUGGCUGCAUUCUCGUGGGUUCUGUUGUCAUGCAGACAGUCAUCAUGAUGUGGCAGACAAAGGUCCAGGUCCAUCUAUUCUUCUAGCAAAUGGAACUCCACCUAUUGAGACAGGAGCAUCCUCCCAAGACAUCUCCCUAAUUUAGAAACCUCUGCAACAGCUAGCAGGAGGGAGAGGGAUCUUGAGGUGGGUGCCUUCAUACAAUACACAUUGACACCACAACACACCAUGGCACAGCUGCAGUGGUUUCUUUUCCACUACCUAACACACCUAGGCUAACAUACAUGGCUAUUGGGUUGUUUAUAAGUAAGCUAUUAUUAUGCGUGUAGCCACGCCUUGUGUGCUUUUGGUGUACCCUAGUCAGGAGGUAUCUGCAAGUCCCAGCAGAGCUAGUGGGAGGAGGCUGGCUUCAUGGGAUGAACUUUCACACUGUGUACAGUAAAGGCAGUUUCCUAUACCGUGUCCGAGCACAACUCCUACCUUGGUGUGAUACCCUCUCAAAGCAUGUGGGAAAUGUCUCUGGACAUCAUUGCGUGAGUUCUGCGUUCCCAGAACGUCCCAUUACCUAGAAUAUAGAAUUGAGUUAUCUGGAUUCAGGAAUGACAACAGUGUUUCCCAAUUCUGCUAUCCCCAUGCUGACAAUAGUUGCCAGAUGGUCCCCUCACAGGACAGGCAUGAAUGUGGGUUGAGAGUAAAAAGCAGAAGAGGCACCAUAUACUUUAAUACUAUUUUGCAUUAAGUAUCCUCCAAAUGUUACCAAGGAAUAAUAAAUAGGAAAACAUGUUCAGCCAAUGCAAGCAGAAUUGAAGGUUUAAUGCGUCAUAAUUGUAAUUAAUAUAUCUAGUAAUUAUAAUAUCUCAUUGCUGCAGGGUCCUUAAUAAUGUGCUUUCUGAUCUUAUUUUAAUAGUUUUCUUCUUAUUUGCUGUUCUAUCCACAAGUUAUAAAGUGCUGUUCAAUAUGUUGGUGCCAAUAAUUCUAUAUUUUUUUCCCUUAAUAAAAACAAACAACUAUUCAAUUGAAAAUUGUGGAAACAAUGUGUUUCUGAAGCACCCCUUCCCCCCCCAAUCUAUGAGUUUACAAAUGUCCCAAGGUUGAUAAAACUGUAUGACAGAGUUGUCACCAUAACAACUACAGCAUGCUCUGGUGCCCCCCAGGGUAAGUAGUAAAACUAUUGUGAAACAGCUUGACAUCUUCCCUGGGUUCCUUGGGGUGCUCCUCUGUCUGUUUUAAGCCCAGCUCUCCAGGGGUUAGCUCUUUGGCUCAGAGUGAUCAGCUCUCAGUCAAUGAGCUAGCUCUGCACUGCAGAGAUUAGUACAGGAGAUCUAAGGGAAGCUCCUAGCAGAGGUUUUUCUGAAGAGGAGAGUAGUGGUGGUGAGAGGCACCUGGUGGACUUAAAGGAUCACUAUAGUGUCAGGAAAACAAACUCGUUUUCCUGACACUAUAGCAUCUUGGGGGACCCUCACCCUCAGGGUCCUCCUCCCGCUGGUCUGAUGGGGUUAAAACCUCUUCAGCCACUUACCUUAAUCCAGCGCAGGGCUCCCUUGGCGCUGGUUACCUCUCUUCCCCCCCUGACGUCAGUUCCCGAGUGGAGCGGAAUGCACAUGCGUGGCAAUGCUUUCCUAUGGACGUUCUGCACGCGGGAUGCAAAUUUCACAGUGCAGCAAGUCGAGGCGUAGAGCAUGCACCUGGCACGCAGAACUGCUGCUAGGCAGGUGCCUGGUUUGGUGGGAGGGUUGAUCACACACACACACACACAGCACCCCCACACACACACACACACACACACACAGCACCCCUCACAUACAACACUCACACACACACACCCCCCACCUCAAUGCAGUAUGUGUGUAUUCAGCAGUGUGUGCGUGUAUUCAGCAGUCUGUGUGUGUUUGCGUGUAUUCAGCGGACUGUGUGUGUGUACUCAGCAGUCUGUGUGUACUCAGCAGUCUGUGUGUACUCAGCAGUCUGUGUGUGUGUAGUCAGCAGUGUCUGUGUGUGUGUAUUCAGCAGUGUCUGUGUGUGUGUACUCAGCAGUCUGUGUGUGUGUACUCAGCAGUCUGUGUGUGUGUAUUCAGCAGUCUGUGUGUGUGUAUUCAGCAGUCUGUGUGUGUGUGUACUCAGCAGUCUGUCUGUAUGUGUAUUCAUCAGUCUCUGUAUUCAGCAGUCUUGUGUGUGUGUAUUCAGCAGACUGUGUGUAUGUAUUCAGCAUUGUGUUGGAGAUACUAAUAAAUAUAAGCUUAAUUUUAUCUAUUUAUAUCAUUAUUUAAAAUUUGUAUCAUUGAACUCUCUGUGUUCUUUUAAAACAAAAGUUAUUAGUUCGGACAACAGUACGAGUUGUUUUUUUCUAAACUUAAACCUCAGUAUUUGGGUUUAAUUGCCAUGUUGGCACUUUAAGGAGAAAAAAUGUUGGCAUGUAUUGCGGUUUGGGCACUCGGGCUCAAAAAGGUUCGCCAUCACUGAUCUAGGAUAUGACAAUAAUUUUACUCUCUGGACUUUCAUACCAUUUCCAAACAAGAAAUGACUCUGCAAAACCACUUGCAGUUGUUUUCAGACUGUCAACAAAUGGCAGUUCCACAGAGCAGGCCCUGUCAGUAUAAAUGCACUCAGGUCUCCUUUGGAAAAGUGCAUUAGCAAAUACUAACAAUAUCAGAGUGGCAUUAAAAAUUCACCACAUCUUACAUGUCUCUUGUGUGUGGAUAGUGUUUUCGCACAAUGAAUGGUAAUAUACUGGGUAUUUACAAUGUGAUUAACUAUAAGCUAACCAGAUACAUUUUCUCUUAAUCACAGAGGUACAUACUAGUGCGCCUCAGGUCCACUGCCAAAUAAGUGUUGAUUUGUAGUAGAUUCUUACAUUGUCUCUCUGUUAAUCACUGGAGGCAUUGCAUCAUACCUUUUCUCAGGAUUUUGUGUUUUACUAAUAUAUUGUCAUCACUUUGCAAACAGUGUAAAUGAGCCUACAUACGAGCUGAUCAGGGACCAUAUAAUAUAAGACUGGCAACAGAUGAUGCCCUCUCAUUAUUGUCCAAAAUCGUAACACCAGGAUCAUGCAGAACAGGAACUGUCUGUGGAUAAUAAUAGUAGAUGCUAAUAGUAAAAUAUUGAAACGAUGGCAAUAGGGAGUACGUGAAGUAGUGGGAGGCCUUUGCACCAUAUGGUAGUGGAUACUUGUACAAGCAGUCAUCCUGGACAGUAGCAUCUAAUCAGGUAAAAACAUACACAUUUUAGUAACUGUUAUCUACAUGAAUGAUGUUAAUUUUAGCUAGGGAUUUGUACAAAGAAAAUGUUCUACAUUUAAUGCACUUAACCAGAACAGAUUAUUGCAGUAGUUGUAAUACUAAAAAGCUCUUCCAUCCUCGGUCCCAUCUAAUGCUCUUUGUUGAGGAGUAUUGGGGACCUGAAGCACAUGCGAUGCUGCAUGCACACCCAAGCUGUAUUCAAUGCUUUGCUAUGAGAAAAAAACUCACUCAGUGCCACAGAAGUGCCUGUAGUAGUCAGGAAAUAAGUAUAUAGAGGUGGAUUUAACCUUGCAAUGUUUGUAAAAAAAAAACUGCAAUGUUUUACUUGCAGGGUAAAAUGUCAGGACCACUGCACCCAGACCACUUCAUUGAGAUGGAGUGGUUUGGGUAACUUAACUUUAGUGGUCCUUUAACCAAAUAGUUAGGUUCUGUGUAAGGACACUGCCCUCUUUCUUGCUUUUUGUGCCCUCUCUGUUUCUUUGCUAUGAACUGUUGUUAUACCAGGUUAUCGUUCUCUUGUGACCCAUACUUGUUUAACCAUUUAUGCUACUAGUUGCAAGGUUUUUUGUUUUUUUUAAUAUAAUUUCAUAGUUCACCUUGCCAACUCAUAAACCUUACUAUUCCUUUCUUUUCCUUGUUAGUAUGGUUUUCAGUGAUCUAUGCGUUCUGGGGUUUAAUCCUUACUAGAAUGUUAUAAUUUAUAUUCAGCUUUAACACUACCUUAAUGCUGACUCUUAAACAACCGAUUAAAAAUGUAAGAAAAAAAGAAGAAAAUAUUUAACAAUGCCCUUCUUAAAGUACCAUUAUUCUAAGUAAACAGCUUAAAAUUAUUUGCCCAUUUUAUACUUUUGGAAAAUUAUAGGAAAAUGUUACAUAUGCAAGAUUUCUUUAUUAGAAUAAAACAUUUUCACAGCCAAGUUUGUAUUUUGCUCCACAAUUAUGAUGCAAUUUUGCAUGCUAGAAUUCCUGGCAUGGACAUUUAUGGAAAAGAAGUGUAAUGUUUCAGAAUGAUUAAGGCAUGUAUUUCAAAGUAACAAGAGGUUAAGGGGUCAAUUUAACAAAUUUGUGAAAUUAGUCAAAAAAGAAUUUCCAGAUUGCUUAAGUUUAAAUUUCCUUGAACUUAGUUCUUUUUAUUAAAAUGUCGGCUGUCAACAUAUAACACUAACCGUUUAGGUAGUAGACUCCCAAGUAUAUUUUACUUAAAGAAGAUAUAGAUAUAUGGAAAUGUUAGAACAAGAUACAAAAGCUUGUUUGUGCUGAUGCAGCUGUUAGGAGAAGAUACUGCUGGUUACAAAAACAAACAGAAACACAAUUAAUGCAUUGAAAAUGGGUAUGAGCCUGGAGCGAAGGUGGUAUUUUAUGACAAUACUGUGCUUAGGUCAUUAGGGAGAUGGAAUUGGCAUAGAGAGUCUCUGAACAUGGAAAAAAAGUGGUUUGAAUCCACUAUGAUGAGUGGAAAUGCAUUAUGUUUUAGAUUUAUGAAAAGGAAACCAUAACCCUGUAGUGCAGGGCUUGACAAUUUUGCUUGGAAUCUAGCAGCCAGCUAAAAAAGUUAGGAGCCAGUUUUUUGUAAACUAACAAAGUUAAAUUUUUAUGACAAAAAUACAAUUCUUAAUGUAGUGAUUCUGGUGUCUAUAUCCUUUACCUGUAUGUUUUUUUUUUUACAUUUGAACACUGCCUUUUUAAAGAAAAUAUAGUGUUUACAUUGCUGCUAGUGACAGUCUCUCACAUGACCAUUACAGGUGAAUCCUAGUUCAGUGCUGCACAGUGUGCAUGGAAGCCCUGAAUGUUACCCAUAGAGAUACAUUGAUUCAGUGCAUCACUAUGAGGAGAUGCUGAUUGGCGUGGCGUUUUUUCACACAUGCGCAAUAGCCUCCUAAUAUUUUUAUUUGGGAGAGUAUUGGCUUGGCUGAGAUCAUUUGAUUAAAUUGAGAUCAGAAUGUUUAUCUCAGUCAUGGAGGUGGGAACAGCCACAGAGAGACUGGCAGGGCGUGGGAAAAAAGUGAGUAAAAAUACCUUUUCCAUGCGAUCAGAGGGGGGCACUUACUAACAGAAACACACACUCACUGACAGACACACUUUCAGACAGACACAAUCUCAAUGACACACACAUUCACUGACAGAAAAACACACUCACUGACUCACAAACACACUGAGAGACACACAUAUUCUCACACACUCACAAAUUAUUUUGUUUAUUUUAAUUUAUGUCCACCACGCCUCCCUACCUUUGGGAGAACUGGAAUAGUUCAUUUCCCUGGGGUCAAGUGAGGCUGCUGUAAUCUUCAAGCUCUUCUGACUCUGCUCCCUCGUGCGCAACUUAAUGAUGCAGGCGCUGGAGUGAUGUCAUAUUCCAGCUUCCGGCAUCAUAGCAGGACGCAAGAGGGAGCAGAGUAAGAACUGCAGGAAGAUUCCUGCUUCCUCGCCUCCACCUCAGUGCUCCUUCGGCUGGCUGUCUCCACGCUCCCAGGGCCAGCCUACACCACACUCCCUAUGGCUGACAAACAUCCUUGCGUCAGGAGUCUGGAAUUUGUCAAGCCCUACUGUAGUGGCAUAGAGUGGUUCAUAGAAUCUGUGGACACCAUUUUUUGACUGUUUAGAAAAAAACACUGCUCCCCUGUUGACUACAGUCUCUGUUCCUGCUCAGGGCUGGCCAGACUAAUGAGAAAGUCCACUUUUGCAUUAGCAGAGGUACAACAGGAUGGCUGGACUGUGGGUGCCAGAAGUGUCCCAUUCUUGUCUACCCACUCAUAAAUAGUUUGACACAAAUUGGUGAGAUGACACCCACAGAUUGCUAGCACCAUAACCACAACCACAUCAAGUCGCUGUGGUUAUAAGGCAUAUAGUAUUCUUUUGAAGGGGAAGAACACAGGUACACCUAACUUGAGAUAUAUCUUUAGGUCAGUUCACAGGCCUGAAAAAGCAGUGUUUAAAGCAAAAAGCCUGCAGUGACUGACUAUACUCACCAGAACAACUGCAAUAUGCUGUAGUUGUUCUGGUAACUAUAGUGUCCCUUUAAUGUAUUAUAUGUCUGAUCAAGUGAGAAGUGACCAAUAGAGGGGAAAAGGAGAAGUAAUAAAAUCUAUAUUUAUAUACUUAAUAUAAUAUAAUUGAUUAAAAUAUAUAUAUAUAUAUGUAUAUAUAUAUAUAUAAUUUGAACAAUUUAAAAAUAUAGUUUUUUUAUUGCUUCUCCUUUUUUGCCUCUUUGUUUACGUCUUCUCACUUGACCUGUGAACCAAAUGUUGUAAAAAAUGCACCAAUCAGUGAAUGAAAAAAUAUACACACUAUUGUUAUGAACGCUGGUAUUUCAGAUACCCAUUCGCUUUCGGUUCCUCCUGAACUGCUAAACGCCGAGUGAUUACAGCUCGCAGUUCGGGUGUUGAUUCGAAAGUCCUUCAGAAGAAAAUGCAGUAUCCAAGUAAAUUCUCCAAGCAAUCAGAUGUAUACCUAAACAACAGCCUAGACUAGAUGAAGGGUACAACAGAAAUGAAUGUAUUCAGGCCAGCUGGCCGGUUUAUAUGCAAGUCCCUAUGCAAGGGGUACACACUGUAAUUACAUAGGCUCUCAGGUCCAGGACACUCCCACACAAAAAAGGAUAAUCCCUCCUCUGUGCCUGUGAGAUAAUUGAGUCAAGAACUAUACUAAACUCAAUUAUCUCGAGGCACAAAAAGCAUAUAUUUUAACAACCCCCUGAAAGUGCCCCCAAAACACAUGGAAACCCCACAAAAGUCAUAUCCUCUGAAUGCCCCGUUCUGGGGACCAACAUAUCCAAAAAUCACCCAGAUCGGUUCAGGGGUUUGGGAUUUACAUGGAAGCCAUAAUUUGACCGACCACACACAAGGUCUUAUGCCCAAAACAGUUCCAGAGAAUCAGGGCUUGCGGCCGGUCUAGUUUAAAAACCGAACAAACUACUGAACAUAGUCAAUAGUCUUACCCUGUAGCUUGUUCCUCUCAUCCAGACGAACGAUUCCACUGAACAGUGCCCUUCUAAGUUGCGUAGAACCGAACGCAGGCGAUGCUGGAAGUCUAGUGGUGUUUUGGAGUUUCGGUGUCCGAUUUUAGUUCCAGGAACUCUACGACCAAAGUAUAUUAGUCAAGGUCCAUUGCAGGGGCCGUAGUCCUGAGACAAGAGGCUGGCCAGCAGGCCCCUCCAAGAACCCGUGGCGAGGUUCCGUUCAUUACAUUUCUUCCCCCCCAAGGUAAGACUAACCAGGUACCUGACCUGCUGCCGGUCGGUACCUGAGUUAGUCGGGCAGCUCACCCAACAACAAGUAGCUGACCUCUGGUGCCCGGCUCUGUCCUAUAUGUCCCAGGCUGCUGAGUGGGCGUCCGUCGCCUCCCCCGGUGUUUUUUGUUCUCCCAGGUAUGGUGCUGUGGAUACUUGCCCCUUAGCCAGCGUUACAGCCGGGUAGGUUGGAGAGUCAUCCGGUCCUGGACUGAGAACAAGGGGAGGGCAGAGGCCAACACCACUCUGCCCUGGUGCCAGCGCUUCUGAUGGGGAAACCUGGGGACAGACCGGCUCUAUAGCAAUGUGGUAGGUGGGGCAGAGGCCAGAGGCACUCUGCUCGGAUGCCAGCUCUUCCGCUGGUAGGGGGCCAGUGGGGACUACCCCACUACCUCCCCCCCCGGCCCAGAACCGCGACUCCUCCAGACUACCACAGUCAUCGUCCUCCUCCAUGGCACUUAACAAGAGGCCAGGGCCAUCGUAGCCCUCACCCUGGCUGAACGCCCUCUGCCAACCAAGUGUCUCGUUGGACUGCGUACCACCAUAGCGCCCAGUACGAGUCGUCCAGCAUCAUCUCUUUCUUGACCAGGAACUCAAGGUGCCUUACCCACUCCAUCAAGGAUUGCUCUCCCAGGAUCACCAUCCGUAUGGUCACUUGCUCCUGCCAGCAGUGCGCUGUACUUCGAACCUUUUUUUUCUGCCGAAGUGGUGCUACCUCCAUGGACUCCUGCCAGAGUUCUCGCUUUGUAAUGCACCUUGUAAUCUCCACUGGAACUCCUCCUCAUAUGGGGACACUGCCCGGGGGCUAGCUUGCGCCAUCUCCUUAGUUCCUCUUUAGACUGCUGGGCCUCUCACUGCCUUCCUGUUUCGGGAUCCAUUUGGAUACGAUCCCGCCACUUGCCACCUUGCUUCUCCUUUUUUGCCUCUUUUGUUUACUUAUUCUCACUCGACAGUUAAACCAAAUGUGGUGAAAAUGCACCUAUCAGUGAAUUAAAACAUAUACACACUAUUGUUACGAACGCUGGUAUUUCAGAUACCCGUUUGCUUUUGGUUCCUCCCGAACUGCUAAAGGCUGAGUGAUUCUAGCUCGCAGUUCAGGUGUGAAUUCGAACGUUCUCCAGAAGAAAAUGCAGUAUCCAAGUAAAUUCUCCAAGCAAUCAGACUUAUACCCAAACGUCAGCAUAGACUAGAUGAAGGAAUGAAUUUAUUCAGCCCAACUGGCCGGUUUAUAUGCAAGUCCGCAUGCAAGGGAUUUACCGUGACAUAUUCCAGGGGGCAUUCCCCACUGGACCUGAGAGGGGACUAUGGCAAAGUACAUAAUAGAUAAUUGAGUCAGGAUCUGUACUAAACUCAAUUAUCUCCAGGCACAAAAAAACAUACAUUUUAACAACACCCCGAAAGUGCGGGGUUCAGGAUUUCCAUGGAAGUCAUAAUUUGACUGACCGUACACAAGAUCUUAUGCCCAAAACAGUUCCAGAGAAUCAAGGCUUGUGGUCGGUCGAGUUCGGUAGUUUAAAAACCGAACAAAACAACCGAACAUAGUCAAUAGUCUUACCCUGGCUCUUGUUCCCCUCAUCCAGACGAACAAUUCCACCGAACAGUGCCCUUCUAAGUUGUGUAGAACUGAACACAGGCGAUUAUGGAAGUCUAGCGGUGUUGGGGAUUUUAGUUCCAGGAACUUGACGAACUGCCUGCAUUCAUGCGAACAAGAUGGCCGCAACCUCGUGGUCGUUCAUGCGAACAGCGGCCACCCUGAUAAACAAUUAGAAAACUGGUGUUAGAAUCGUUACCAAGUGUUAAUAAGGUUUAAAAAGCUCCCGGGUGGUCUGUUCGUGCGGCUGUUCGGGUUUCCGAACCACAUAAUCCCAAUUACACGAACAGAGCCUUUUAAAAGUAUAUUAGUCAAGGUCUAUUGCAGGGGCCAUAGUCCUGAGGCAAGAGACUGGCCAGCAGGCCCCUCCAAGAACCCGUGAUGAGGUUCAGUUCGUCACAACUAUAUUUAUAUAUUUCAGGACACUGAUUCGCCAAUUUCUCUCCAUUUUGGUUUGGCCGAAUCUCUUUCCUCAGAACAACUGCAUGAUGAAAUCCGUCCAAACUGAAAUGCCACAUGCAUGAAUUCCUGAAACCAAAUUUGGUCGAACCAAAUUUUUUUGCUCUGCACAAAUCUAAUUAAUAAGAUCUGCACAAGUUAGAGGUGCAUACCAUGCACUCCAACACCAGACCACUUAUUGUGAGUUUUAAUGCUGAAAAGGUCAAUGUAAAGGAGGAAUCCCCAGAGCUCCAAAGCAGUAAAACUCAAAAUAUUGCGCGCAAGGCAUUUAACCUAAAGAGUUGCUCCAGCAUACUUGUUCUUGUUUGAUUUCCUUUUUCUUUUUGCUGUUCAUAAUAUUGUGCGGUAUGGAUGAGUAUUAAUUAGCUCCAAAGCAAUAUGCUUUGUGUUUUUAUGUGGUGCCUCUGUGUAAGUGUAGUAUAUGCAUCUUUCACCUGCAUUGCCAAAAAUCCUUGCACAGGCCCUAGAGACAGGGAAGGAGCACCAAGGAAGAACCUACUGAGGGUUGAUGUUGAUGUUCAGAUAAGUGUGGUAUGAAAGAGAAGAGAAAUUCCAGACCAUAGUGAUUAAGGGGUGCAUAUUGUGCCAACCAGCUACCCCGUGAUAACUGGACCAGGCUUAGGACUUCAGAGAAAAUACACAAAAAAAGUAGAUUAAGGGCCCCUGUCACAGAUGCCUAAAAGACGCCAUACUAAGCAGCUCCUGUGAAUCUAAUACUUAAGAUAAACCUUCUGCCUCUAUUUACUAUUCCGCGAGUAAGGGGCACGUCUACUUUAAAAUAAAUAAUAAGCCCCCCCCACUCCAAUAAAGUGCCCCAUGGUGAGGAACCUAUUCAAAUGAUUAACGGGGGGGGACAUAGAGUAGGGGCUACUAAAUUAAAAUGGGACCUAGAUUCCCCCUCCCAGCCAUGAGCAGCAGGUGGGGGCCCUGAGUGACAAAAGGGGGGGGGGAUCUACUGCCUCCCCAUCCAUGAGCCUAUUUUCAUUUGUGGAAAGUGUUCCCUCUGACAACAGACCUUAAGACAUGUCUAGUCAGCUCCUAGAAGGGAUUUGUGACAUCAGUCAUUCACUUUUCAUUAGGGAAUAUGAGCCAGGCAUAUUGCCUUUUCUGCUAGGACUUUCAAAUGCUUGCAUAGCAGUGAGGCAUCCUACUGCAGUCUAUUCAAGGCUGAAUUUGAUGGACUUUUUUCAACCUAGAUUGCUAUGUAAUAAAGAAACAUCAUCAUUACAAAGAAGAUAUUCCUGAUCCCAUUAUUUUUGGCCACAUUGUAACUGACUCGAAGACAGCAGACCUGCAUGUUUUAGAUCUGCUGUUCUAACAGCCUCCAUGAGAUUGCUGGAAUCACAGAGAAAUUGUCACAUUUUUCAUGGAGAACAUCCUAGACUUUCCAUAUGGCCUUUGAUUCCUCCUUAGAUGGAAUGAACCAACCUCCCUUUAUAUCCUGUACCUGUUUUAAGAUAGUGACUACAGCAGGGUAGUAGGAGAGUAGAGACCCCAAAGUGUGCACAAAGCACAUCCUGGGCACUAGAGAGGCUAUCAUAAACAAGCAAUAUAGAUAAGUGUGGGUUUGUAGUAAAGGAGUGUGUGUAUGUACCCAAGACUGUAUAAAUAUGUACAAUUUUGUCAUUAAGUGUGUAUGAAAACACCUAUGUACAUGCUAUAAAUGUUAUUUCCAAUAUAUAUAUAUAUAUAUAUAUAUAUAUAUAUAAAUAAAGUAUGUGCCAUAGCAUUCCUGACAGUGUGUGUACGGGAAGGCUGCAUAUGAAAGUGUAAUUUAUGCAUUGUGAAGUUUAUUGAUGCAUUAAAUCUUCCACCCCACCAUCCAAAUACUUCAUCAGUUAUCAGUAGCCUCUAGGUGGGGAGAACAUGAAGAAGAAAUGGUAGCACGAGAGAGACAUUGGCAGAGAACAUUGGAAAUAAGAAGAAUACAUAAAACAUAGGCAGAAAGAGCAAGUAAAAUAGGUAACAGAUAACUCUCUGAUAUGAAACCUUAUAGGAUAGUUGAGCUAUAUAUAUGACAAUAUCUCAUACAGCUGUAUUAUUAGUUUGACGCACUAGAUAGGGUCCCUUAUGUAGUCCUGCAGUCUUUACAUAACGGAAGUAUGGCCUCUCCACACUCUUCUACCCCAUGAUCAUCAGUAAUAAUGAGUUCAGCCAGAGGAGGAAAAGCAAUGCAUUGGGGCCAUAAUGGUUUAGAGGGCCAUUAAAAAGCUAAAGACACUCUGACCUUAGUAAUACACAUAUUUCUGAGGUUAGACGGUUCCUUUAAACUAAAUGAAAUAAAAGGUAUAUUUAAAACACACAACAAAUGUAACUGCAAUGUAUAUCCUGACAAAUGUGUAAAUACGCGGAGUGGCCCUUACACACAGUAUACAAUCAAGUACACUGUAGUCACACACAACUGUGAAGGUGUAGUGUGGAUUGUUUGAUGCUGUUAUGGAACAAAAUAAAAAUUGUUUAUAAAACAAUGAAUUUUGAGUUCACUUAGUGGAAACCAGUAAUGAGUGGCUAUGUUAUUUGUUAUCUGCAUGUUUUGGGAAUAGAUUGCAUACAGUAUAAUCCUUUUCUGUUAUUGUUUUGGCUUUUUGUUCUUUCCUAAUCACAAAGUUAGCUUGUACGUUUUACUUCCAGAUUUGGCAAACAUCCACAUUAUAGGUUAAACAACAACCUUCCAUAGUAAAAGUAAUUUCACAGCUUGCAUCAUGGGUGCACUGUCAUUAAAUUAUAUGUUUGUACCACAGUUCCAAAGAGUCAAAGGCAUUAAAGGGACUCUCAAGCCAGAGUAGUUUACUCACCUGGUUCCAGCGCCGGGAGCCUCGAGAAGCCGCGCCUCCUAUUUAGUCAAAAUGACGAAAUAGGCGAGCGCGAGCAGGGAGCAAUCAGACGCUUCCAUUUGGAAGCGCAAUUGCUCCCUUGUGGGCAUGCGCGGCUUUGCCGCACAUGCGCACAUACUUCAUAGGGCGGCAUUCUGAGCGCACUACCGCGCAUGCGCGCAGUGUGUGCGGCCGCGAGCUGACUGACAGCUCAGCUCGCGGUCUUUGCCCGUCCCCUCUCCUCUGCUGACAGGCAGGAGAGAGAAGGCGCGCACACAGUGCAUUCUCUCUCCUGCACACGUCAGACGUAUCUUAAUACGUCUGACGUGUACAAGGCCUUUUUAGGGCCCUACAUGAUAGGAAGUCCCUCUGGUGGCCGUCUGAGUGACGGCCACUGGAGGUAUUCCUAUCAAUCAAUGUAAACACUGUAUUUUCUCUGAAAAUACAGUGUUUACAUUAGAUUGCCUGCAGGGAGCUAUAGAUCUCACCUCAACAAAUACAUUAAGCUGUAGUUGUUCAGGUGACUAUAGUGUCCCUUUAAUUAGCUCUUUUGUUUUGUUUUGCGUUUAGAUUUGAUAAUGUUGUGUCUCUGCGUGAUGUGAUUUUAAAUAUAUAAUAUGCAAGAGUUUGAUGUAUGGGAGCUGUUGAAUAUUGAUGCAUGCGUACCACAGAAAGAAAAUGUCAAGUAAUAUAAAACUAGAUUAUUGUGAAGACAAGGGAGCCAGAAAUCAAAAAGCUGCUAUAAUAUAUUAAGGUGCAACUACUAGAACUUCCUGUCUCCCUUUCCUGGCAGUUUGUUUAUAUUUGCCCUGAAUUUUGAAAAAAAAUACAUCUUGUACUUUUUAUUAUACAUACCAUUUUGUAGCCAGUUUUCGCCAUGGUAAUCCAUUGUUUCUCCAAAUAAUAUUCUUCAGUCUGCAAAAGAUCGAUACAGUAGACAUGUGUGCUGUUUAUUCAUUUACAAUUUUAUUAAACUUUUUUCUAAGUAUAUUAGUGAAAAUACAGUAGCAUACAGUGAACUUUCAUUUACAGUGUCUUUCAUUUUAUUAAACAGUUGUGACAUGUCAAAGGUCACUGCAAGGUCUGUAAGUAGUGGAGAGUCACAGCACUAUGCAAAGGAAAUACAUAGCAUAAAUGUAAUACCAGCAGUACAGAACAAAAAGGAUAUUAAUACAAAUAAGUUAUAUUCAGUUGAGCCUCUGGGGAGCCUCAAUUCGGUAAAAUAAAGGAACACUCUAAGGUUAGGAUUAUAACAUGUAUACCUAAUGUGAGAGUGAUGAGAUAAUUUCGAUAUUUGCUACUCCAAAUAGUUAAAUUAACCUUUUUACUUACAUUAUUUCCCACAGAAGCAUUGAGGUUCUAGUGCGCAUGCAUGCCAGUCGCUGCAUCAUGCCAAUCGUCAUCUUCGCAUACAGAUGCGUUGCCUUAAUCCAUCUCUGUGGGGAGUGUUUGGUGUUUCCACGUUGAGUGGGAUUGAAAGCCCCUUUGAGUGACAGCCACUAAGAGGUGGCAUUAGGCAGCAAUGUUAAUGCAUUGUUUUUUCAGUGUUUACACUACAUGCACCGUCUCCUUGUCCUAGACCCACAACAUUAAGAUGCAGUGGUUCUGGAGCUUAGAGUGUCCCUUUAACCCCUGAAGGACCAAACUUCUGGAAUAAAAGGGAAUCUUGACAUGUCACACAUGUCAUGUGUCCUUAAGGGGUUAAAGGCCACAGGGUACAUGAUGUUGCAAAGUGAAAGAUGGACAAAAUACAUGUCAUUAGUUUUCCGAUGUACAAACAUGUAUUCCUGACCCUAUAGUGUGAAAACCACCAUCUAGCUCCCCUCCCUCCUCCUCCCCUUGCCUCCCUAAAUAUGUAUUUAAGUCUGCAGCUUCUGGCUCUGCCCCUGUUUGCCUGUGAACGGCCUCUGUCUGCUGACAUCAUCAGAUGUGGUGGUCUGAGCCAAUUACAGUGCUUCCCCAUAGGAUUAGCUGAGACUGACAAAGAGGCAGAUCAGGGGCAGAGCCAGCACUGCAUUUUCUCUGAAAAUACAUUGUUUACAGCAAGGGAAUGAUUCUAAGCACCAGAACAAAUGCAAUAAGCUAUAGUUGUUCUGGUGACUAUAGUAUCCCUUUAAUAUAUGUUUUUUUUUUGUUUUUUUUAGCUUUAAUAGCAUUUACUAAGGUGUGAGGACGAGGAAUUAUCACUACCAGAUAAGCAACAUUUUUUUAAUACAAUUCGAUUUUUCGAAAGAGUAAAAGUUGUUUUACAAUGCACAUAAUAUUAAAGGGACAUUCUUAGGACCAAAAGUAAUUUAGCUUAAUGCACUGGUUUUAGCAUGUUGAUCAUGGGACUGCAAUUUUUACUGCUCAUUUUUCUAUCAUUUAGGAUUUAAGUCACUGUCCUAAUGCAGUCCUAGUCACAUUUUCCUUUCCUGUGACUUACACAGUCUCCCUACACACUUACUGUAAAGGGAGAUCUAAUGUUUAAACUUCCUUCGUGGCACAAUUUGUUUAAUUCAGAAUUUGUUUUAUUGCCUUCUAGAGUCUGCAACAGCCUCAUGUUUGUGAUUAAAGCUCAAUUAACAGAGCAGAAGGUAGAAACUAGUGACCAGGCCGUUUUUCAAUUUUCUUACCGUUUGGAACAAGGGCUGUUUUUAAAUUUCUGCUGUGUUUGUGUUUAGCUGUAAUUUUCCUCUUACUCAUUUACUGCACCCACACAUAUUAUAUACCGUUUUUCUCACCAUUAAAUGGUCUUUCUACAGAUAUGAUUAUUUUCAUCAUAUUAUAUCAUUUACUAUAAAAUUAUAAAAUAUGAUGAAAAAAUGUAAAAAAAUUCUAACUUUGACCCCCAAAAUCUGUUAUGCAUAUACAACUGCCAAAAAACACCAGUGCUAAAUAGUUUCUAAAUUUUUCCUGAGUUUAGAAAUACACAAUGUUAACAUGUUCUUAGCUUUUUUGGAAAGUUAUAGGGCUAUAAGUACAAGUAGGACAUUGCUGUUUCAAAAUAUAUAUUUUAAAAAUAUUUAGAGAGGGCGGAGCCUGACUGCCAACCAAGAUGGCCGCGUGUUAGAGAGGCUCCGCGACGGCAGACAAACUAACAGCUAUAAUCAGCGGCACUGGAGUCACUACAGCUCUAACAGCAUGGGUAGACACCUCACAACUCCCCAGCACUAUGGGAGGUGGACGGAAAACGAAGUCCGGACCCCAAUAUUCCGGACCUGGAGGACAAAGAGCAGCCGCGUGCAGAAAGCCAUCAGGCCUCGGACUCAGAAUCCGAGGACAGCACACACAGCCACGAGACUGAAUCCUCCCCUCUAACUAAACGGGACCUCAGAAACAUGCUCCACGACAUGAAAUCCCUGGUGGCUGCAGAACUCACGAAGCACCUGGCCCCCAUUAAAGAAGGCCUAGCUCUCAAAGACCUCAGAGAACAGAUAGCUCUUCUAGAAGAAGCACAGGAAGACCUCAACAAUAGAUCCAUACGUAACAACAUCCGUAUAAGGGGUCUCUCUGAAACUUACACACAGGACACUCUCACUGCCACGCUACAUGAAGCCUUUAGCAGCUUGCUCCCUGAUGCACCACCGACAGAGCUGCUCCUGGACAGGGCACACCGAGCUCUCCGUCCUCCGGCUGCUAACCCCACACAGCCCAGGGACAUAAUACUACACUGCCACUACUUCCAUACCAAAGAGGCGAUCAUGAGAGCGGUGAGGGAGACCCCCCUCCAAAUCGAGGGCCACACGGUCCAACUGUACCAGGACCUAGCGCCCACAACCCUCCGCAAGCGACGAGAGCUACGGCCACUGACCCAAGCCUUACAACAGAGAAGAAUACGAUACUCCUGGGGCCAUCCGUUUAAACUCAUGUUUCGACAUGACAACCAAACUUUCACCCUAACCAGACCGUCAGAAGCACAGAAUUUCGCCUCCCACCUGGGCCUGAAUGACCUGCAAUUAAAUUUGCCUGCUAGUUCCCAGACCGCUGCACCCCAAUGCGGCACGUCGGAGCCACUGCACACAGGCCACCACAGACACUCCAGGAGACAACGGCCUACCCAACUGCAAGCCCCUCACGCCUAACUGAUGCCCCCUCGCAAUCACUCUGAGCACCGCUAAUGCAAGUUCCUGCUGCCCUGGUGUGGACCUGGCCCCCGACCACCCGAGUGCCUUCUUACGGUGAUCCACGUAAGAGACACAGCUGCUCCUUUGCACACCGGGUCCCAAGAUUCUCUCCAGAACACACACUAACUACCAGACCUUUGCGACCUCACAGCCGCAAGGCCGACGUGAAACCAACUACGUAACGUAUACUAUAACUGUAUGAUAUACCCCUACCCUCAUGUGCGGGCAGACCCAAGCGGUACAUGUGGCAGACUACCCUAGAGGGGCCACCCCGCACUAGGUCAGCGGGGGAUGUACAGCCAUGCUCGACUUUGAAGCAUAUAUAUUUUAUUUCCUUACUGUUCGAAUAUCCACUAAAAGUCUCACCCGAUGGCCACACUGUGGCUGCCCUCGGGGCUCCUCCUUGCCCCGCUGCCUGGCGCGGGGGAACGGGGGCCCUGACCAAGCGGCUGCGGUGGUCACAUUGCCCCCCAUUGUGCUUAUGCCUCAUGGCUUUACUGUACUAACACUCACCGAAAUGUGUUGCCUCAUGCAUCGCACUGCGGUCGCCCUUGGGGCGGGGGGGUGCCCUGACUGCGCAGCCGCGACGGUGACAUUGUGCCCUAGUGUACUGAUGCUUCGUAACUUUAUUGCCUUCACACUUGUUGAAAUGUGUUGCACCCUAUUGUACUGAUGCCUCCUUGCCUCACUGUCUUGACACUCACCAAGAUGUACUGCCUUCUUAAUCAUACUGCGGUUGCCCUUGGGGUGCACCCUCCCCCGCCUCCCGGUGGGGGACGGGGCGUCCUGACGGCACAAUCGCGACGGUUUCAUUGUGCUCUGUUGUACUGAUAUUGCAUAGCUUUAUUGCCCUGACACUCACUGAAAUGUGUUUUGUUUUAAUGUACUGAAGCCCUAUUGCCAUACCGUUUUGACAUUUCCUAAGGUGUGAUGCCCUACUUACAAUACUGUGGCCGACCUCGGGGGCGCCCCCCCCCGUGAGCCAUCAGUGCUGGUACCUUACCCACCACAAUGAUUGCCGCGUCCAAUUCACAGGCCUGCCGUCGCCUCUCUGCUAGUCAGCCUCUAUCCUCAUAUCACCUGAUUCUUGUCACCGGUCUCCCAGCCUUAAAACCAGAGAGGCCGUGGACACCACAGUUCCCCCCUGCUGGCUCUGGAGAUAAGCCCAGCGAUCACCCCUACUGCUCUACCGUCCACCCAAUCCCUUCCGCUCGCCCGAGCCCACCGGAACCCCCUUUGACUUCCCCUCCAGCCCCCCACCCCCAACCUACCCCGACGUCUUAGACUCCCCCCAACCUCAGACUACACUGAGUCUCCAUUAACGCCAAGGGCCUCAACAACCCUAAAAAAAGACACUCCCUCCUACGAUGGGCCCACAAUCAAAAGGCUGACAUCCUCCUCAUUCAGGAAACCCAUUUCUCAACUGCUAGACAGUUCCCAUGAAGAAACCGACACUACACUCGUUCAUUUUUAGCAAACUCCCCGACUACAAAAACUAAGGGGGUGGCCAUUCUCCUCAAAGGUACAUAACGAUAACAAGUAGAAUCGGCCCCACCUCCUACUCCUUUACUUCACUAUAUGCCCCCACAACAGCAGACCAACAAUUCUGGACUACAAUCUCCGCUCACCUAGCAUCUCACCCGACAACUUACAGCGACAUUGGUGGUGACUGUAACGCAACCGACACACCAACCCAAGACCGCACAGCCAGGCCAACAGGCGGGUGCCGCCCUUCCACCAAUGACACGCUGUUCUCCCAAUUCCUCAACACACACAACCUCCUAGACGUCUGGAGGGCACAACACCCCUCUAUCCUGGACUACACCUUCUACUCACAUCCCCACAACACAUAUUCCCGUAUCGACUACUUCCUCAUCUCCCCCAACCUUAUACCCACAAUAACACACUCCUCCAUAGGCAACAUCACCUGGUCAGACCACGCCGACAUAUCCCUCACCCUCACAAUCCCCAGCAUGACCAGACCAUGGACAUGGAGACUAAACCCACAACUACUCCAUGACCCACUCGUGACUACUUCCCUGGCAAAGGAUAUAUCAGAAUACUUUUCCCUGAACGACCCGUCAGUCCCCUCCCUGAUCAUGUCCUGGGCUGCCCAUAAAACGGUUAUAAAAGGCAAACUGAUCACCAUAGCAGCGGCACGCAAAAAACAAGCCACUAGACCAGGCAUAGGCAACCUUCGGCACUCCAGAUGUUUUGGACUACACCUCCCAUGAUGUUUUGCCAGCAUUAAAGAUGUAAGAGCAUUAUGGGGGAUAUAGUCCACAACAUCUCGAUUGCCGAAGGUUGCCUAUCCCUGCACUAGACAAAUCAUGGACACCAUGACCAACAUCAGCUGACUUGAAGCCCUCCAUAAAACUGACCUCACCCCCGCCCACCUACAACAACUCACAGCAGCCCAAACCCUGCUCAAGAGACUAUCCCUAUCAGCGACAACUAAGGCGCUAGCCUGGAUCAAACAAAAAUUCUAUGAGAAGGGUAAUAAAGCAGACUCCAUGCUGGCCAAAUGCCUCAAAGCACUCACAGAAACAAAGCAAAUCUCCCGCAUUCGAACCCCAGACGGCUCCGUGAGCGACAUCCCACACAAAAUCGGGGAAACGUUUCAACAAUACUUCACCUCCCUGUACAAUCACACCCCGGACCCUCCCUCGGAACAGAUCAACUCCCUGACUGAAGACUUCCUAAACAAACUCUCCUUAACCUCCCUCACUGAAAAUGCAAGAUCAAUGGUCUCUGCAGAGGUCACCCCUGAGGAGCUCUCUGCGGCCAUCAAGACCUUAAAACCCAACAAAAGCCUGGGCCCAGACGGCCUGACGGCUAUUUACUAUAAAUCCUUCGGGAAACUACUCGUCCCCAAACUCUGCUCAGUCUUCAACGCUAUGCUCAAGGGAGACCCACUACCGCCCGACAUGACUCGAGCCAACAUCACCCUAAUCCCGAAACCCGGUAAAUCCCACUACCGCCCCAUCUCACUAUUAAACAUAGACUUGAAAAUCAUGACCAAAGUUAUGACCACCAGACUGAACGUCCUUCAGGGAAACUAAUAAAACCAGACCAGGUUGGCUUUAUACCGAACAGACAAGCCCAGGACAACACCACAAGGACAAUAGACCUAACAUGGCUGACCAACCAUAGACAAAUCCCCAUGGUCUUUGUCUCCGUAGACGCCAAGAAGGUGUUUGAUCGCCUUCUGUGGCCCUUCCUCUUCUCAACCCUCUGUAAAUUCGGCUUCCCACAUGAACUCACCCAGUUUAUACAGGCGAUGUACCACAACCCAACGGCCCAACUUCUGAUACCCAACAUUAAUCUCCCCUCCUUCCCCAUUCUCAAUGGUACCCAACAGGGAUGCCCUCUCUCCCCCCUCUUUGCCUUAUCCCUCCAACCCCUCCUGGAAUCCAUAUGAACGCGCCCAGACGUCACAGGGCUCACUGCCCAUAAUGAAACAUUCACCGUCGCGGCAUACUCCUCACCCUGACGAAUCCUGAACACGCCCUCAAUGCUAACACUCAUCAAGGAAUACUCCACGAUCUCGGGCUACAAGCUCAACGCCACUAAAUCAGCCCUCCUACCCCUCACAUCCCGACACCCACCCCAGCCUCCCUGAAGCGAAAAUUCCCUUUCUGCAUCUACCCCACAGCAAUCACCUACCUGGGAAUACAGCUCACUGCGGAUGUAGCCUCCCUAUACAACGCCAACUACACCCGCCUAUACCGCAAAGCACACACCGACCCCCAACGCUGGAAACCCAUGAGCAUCUCCUGGCUAGGAAGAAUAGCCUCAGUAAAAAUGAACCUUCUCCCUAAAUUUCUUUAAGCCCUACCCAUCCCCUGCAACAAGACAGACCUAAGAACCCUACAAACCGCCAUAGACCGCUUCAUUUGGAAUGACCGCAAACCCAGAGUAUAUCGAUCGAUUCUAUAUAUCCCUAAACACUCAGGCGGCCUAGGACUCCCCAACCUACUGCAUUACCAACAUGCGGCCCACCUAGCACAAAUCCAACACUCGCACCUCCCUCCUGACCAUAAAAGUUGGGUUGACUUAGAACACCUCAUAUUCGGUCGAGACCACCCCUCCCUUUACAUAUGGCUUCCGAAACAGCAUAGACCAUUGCACCCCCCAACCUCCCCUGCGAUUACCUACUCCAUAGACAUCUGGGACCGCCUUAGCGACAAAUUUGACCUCUCCUCGGGCCUAUACCCCCUCAUUCCCAUUCUCCGCAACCGAUUGUUCCCUCCGGGACUUUCACCACAACACUUUGCCCACUUUGAGGAAAGGGAUAUCGCCCGGCUUGAUCACCUAUACCCAAAUGGCAAACUUCUCCAAUACACAGACAUCCCCCACACCUCCACCCUGACAACUUUUGACCACUUCAAGUUUCUUCAGCUCUGCAGCUUUGCGGCAUCCGAUGCUGUACUCUGGGCAGCCACAUCCCCCCUCACGACUUUGAAUGUGACUGCAAACGCUCCCCGACACGUAAGAGCCAAAUAUCUGAAUUAUACAUGACCCUCACCACGCAUUACACCCAAAUCUCCCUACCAAAUAUCACAGCCUGGGAGAAAGACCUGGGCCCCCCUGACAACCCCACAGACUGGACAAACAUCUGGGCAGCCAUCAAGUCGAUCUCCAUAUGUGUAACCCACCAAGAACAAGCGUACAAGAUGCUGUUCAGAUGGUACCUCACCCCAACCCGACUUGCAGCAAUGAAACAAAUCCCCACUAGCAACUGCUGGAAACUGUGCGGGGAAACAGGCACGUUCCUCCACUGUUGGUGGACAUGCCCGAAACUAAAACCCCUCUGGCAAAGCGUCACAAACUUAUUGACACACAUACUCUCCAGACCAGUACCCAUGGACCCCUGGGCCCAACUUCUCUCCAAACCUAUCGACACAUUCACUUGAAAUGAAAAACUGAUAGCUAGGGUCGCCCUAGCCACACGUAGAGCCAUAGCAGAAGUCUGGUUCUCUCCUCACAUCCCAACCCAAUCCCAAAUUCACACCAAAAUAAGCGACGGCACUGACAUGGACAAACUGACGGCACAAAUACACGACAUCCCGAAGACGUUCCAUAAAAUAUGGGACCCAUGGCUGGAUGCAGACACCAUCCCCCCUGGUAAACCAACCCGGCCCUCAAACACAUGCACCAUGUCGCUGAUCAUGCUAACCCUACAGACACUGUGACAGCCCUCCAUCCUACCCCCACCCUGCCAUCCUCACCCCAUCCCAGGCACGCCUAAGGAGAUCCUCUACCCGGGUUCUCCACCAAGGCACAUCCCCCCUUUAAAGUAACCCCACUACCAAACAUUGGAACUCAGCACUUGCCUGGUACCAACUCUCCCUCUCAGCCCAACUCUAACGACAGCACCACCCAUUUUGAAAGGGAUAUGAUAAACGGGCAUAACUCUCUCACCAACAGAGAGUCCCCAACCGUAGACCAGACCAAGCACCAUCAACAAAACCAAGAUGGUCCAAUGUAUACCUCAUGUACCAAGUUAACCUAUGUUCAAUUGAAUGUUACUCUUUGAUGUUACAACUUUUUGUUUCAACCUAACAUUCUUUCUGUACGAAUGUCUUAUUGAAAAAUCCAUAAAUAAAGAAUCUUUAAAAUAAAAAAAAUGUAUCAAUAGUGACAUUGUAACACUCUUAUCUGUCAUAAAUCUCUGAAUCACACCUCACAUAUAAAAUUUUUUUUAAAGUAGACAACCCAGGGUAUUCAAUUUGGGGUAUGUCCAGUCUUUUUAGUAGCCACUAAACACUGGCCAAAGUUAGCAUUUAUAUUUGUUUGUGUGUUAAAAAUGCAAAAAAAACAAUUAUAACUUUGGCCAGUGUUUGUGACUAAGUGGCUACUAAUUCUCAUUCCUGGGCUACCAUACGCUCUCAAAGGCAACAUAACCAAUCUGGAAAAUUUCAAUGUGAAAAAAUGGAAAAUCAAGCCUUAUAUUUGACCCUGUAACUAUCAAAAACACUAUAAAACCUGUACACGGGGGUACGGUUAUACUCAGGAGACUUCGCUGAACACAAAUAUCAGUGUUUCAAAACAGUAAAACAUAUGACAACAAUGAUAUCAUCAGUAAAAGUGCCGAUAUUGAUUUUUUCGAGCCAAUACCAAUAAUCUGUGAACUUUACAGCCGAUAGCCGAUAACUUACCGAUACUCUGUACAUCUACAAAUUUUUUAAAAAUAAACUAUUUCUACACAAAUAUACUGUUAACUGAACAUGUUUAUUAUUUAUUAAAUUUUUUUGCAAAUCUUUUUUUUAAUUAAGGUAAAUGCACAAAAUAUACAUGCCAGUUAGGAUUUUUUAGGUUUUCAAGAAUAUAUGUGUGUGUAGUGGAUGCAGUGAGAGUAUUUGAUUAGUGAAUGUAAUGUGUGUGUGUUUGUGUAGUAGAUGCAGUGUAUGUUUGUGUAGUGUGUGUUUAGUGAAUGCAGUGUGUGUUUGUAUAGUGUGUAUAUAAUGAAUGCAAAAUGUGUGUUUGUGUAGUGUGUGUAUAGUGAAUGCAGUGAAUGUUUGUGUAGUGUGUAUAUAAUGAAUGCAGAGUGUGUUUGUGUAGUGUGUGUAUAGUGAAUGCAGUGUGUUUGUGUAGUGUGUGUAUAGUGAAUUCAGUGUGUUUGUGUAGUGUGUAUAUAAUGAAUGCAGAGUGUGUGUGUUUGUGUAGUGUGUGUAUAGUGAAUGCAGUGUGUUUGUGUAGUAUUAUUAUUAUCAUUUAUAUAGCGCCAACAGAUUCCGUAGCGCUUUACAAUAUUUGUGUAUAUAAUGAAUGCAGAGUGUUUGAGUAGUGUGUGUUUAGUGAAUGCAGUGUGUAGUGUGUGUAUAGUGAAUGCAGUGUGUUUGUGUAGUGGGUGUUUGUGUAGGUAUGUAACGUGUGUAGAAUUGGGGGCGUGGGGGGUCAUUUUUAUUUUUUUUAACUUUUAAAAAAAUCUUUUUUAUUUUUUUUAACAUUUUGUUUUAGCCCCCCCUUCCCUGCUUCUUACCUGGCCAGUGAGGGGGGAUAUGGCAUUCCAAGAGGGGCCUGCAGUGGUCCUAGGGAGCCCAGCUCACUCUUACUACCCUUCCCAGCAGCUCGCUUCAGCUACCCUGUCUAACUCUCUCGCGGGGAGUUGCCAUGGUAACCCGUGGGAACACUCUGAUGGCCGUGGGACUCGCGAGAGUUAAACAGGGGAGAUGAAGGGAGCUGCUGGGAAGGUAAGUAAGAGUGUUCUGGGCCACUCAUGACCGCUGUGUGCCCUCCAGUACCCAGCCCUGGUUUGCAUUAUUGGCAAUAUCGGUAUCUCUAUUGGACGAUACCGAUAUUGCUGAAAAUACAGAAUAUCAGCUGAUAAUAUCUACCAGACCGAUAAUCGGUCGAUCCCUACAUAGUAUGACGUUAUAUAUAAGAUAUACACUGAACAAAAUUAUAAAUGCAACACUUGUUUUUGCCCCCAUUUUUCAUGAGCUGAACUAAAAAUUUGUAUUGUGGCCAGCCUAAGGCACAGCUGUGCAAUAAUCAUGCUGUCUAAUCAGCAUCUUGAUAUGCCACACCUGUGAGUGCUCACUAAUACAGAUUUAGACAGAUUUGUGAACAAUAUUUGAGAGAAAUAGACUUUUGUGUACAUAGAAAAAGUCUUAGAUCUUUGAGUACAGCUCAUGAAAAAUGGAGGCAGAAACAAAAGUGUUGCAUUUAUAAUUUUGUUCAGUGUAUAAUAUUUUUUUCCUUUACUAAACAUUUUUUAUUUAAUUUUUUCACCAUCAGUGGGACUGCUUGUCAGUUCAGGCAGUCCCCCUGCAGGCAGCACUGUGGACGCCUAUUGUGGCCAUGUGACCGCUCUUCAGUUUGCCGAGGGGGGACUGUCUGGGCUGUCAGAGAGGAACACCAGACAGAGAGGAACACCGAUCGCCGGCGGGGGAACGGCAGCAAUCGGUUAAAUACUAAGAAUAAGUACGUCCGUGGUCAAGAAAGGGUUAACUCCUAAAAGAAAAAUUAGCAGUAAAAUUGCAGAGUCAUGAUCUAUACACAAAGACUGCUUCAUUAGACUAAUAUUGUUUUGAUGCUUAGAGUAACCCUUGCCACAAUGUUGCAAUUUUUUUUAUUUAUUUUUUUAUUUAGGAAAUUCGAAUUGAUAAACUAUGUAAUAUCUCAAAAAAUAUUUGCCCUUUGCUUUAUUUUACAGGUGAAUUAACUAGGUGUUUGGCCCAAAAUUAACAUGCCAGAUCUAUCGAUUUACGUUGAUAAUAAGGUUAUUUAUGUGUCCUUCAUAAUAAAAGGUUCACAUGUUUUUAAGUAACCAGUUUGAGCCAGGGCUAUCUGGCGUACUCAUGUGUUAAGCUUGCUGAUUAAAUUUAUUUUCAUUGUGGCAUAAACAAAUCUUAGUAGUGUGAUCAAUGCUCAUACUCAGAUGAAAACACAGUGUGUUUCUUUAGAUAGUCCCCAUGUUUUGUUGGAUUGAAAGAAAUAUUGAAUGUAACUCAUUCAGCUGUAAUAAUGAAGAAUACAUGUUUUGGUGUUUCUGUGUAAAUACUGGACUGUUUUGGUUUUAUGUAGAGCGCUGUGACCGGUUCUUGUAUGUGCAAUCUGGCAGGGCACAAGGAAUAAGCAAAGUUAAUGGGUCAAGUAGAUCACAUGAAUAAAAAACAGGAUACUAUAAUUUUGCCACUUUUAAAGAGUAGGCACAAUUUUUUAACUAUAUGAUUUAAUUAUUACACUAAAACUUCCAUCACCCAUAAGCAAAUUCUGUCUGCCUGGAAUUUUUGGGAAUGGUGAUACAGUAACAUCUGAAUAGAUGCUUUCAUUUCUUGAAAUAGUGCAUCUGUGUAGGCUCAUAAAUUACGUAAAACAUAUUUUUUGUUGUUGUUGAAAUUGCAUGUACCGUAAUUCCUUUUCAGAGUAUUUUCCUCAAUGGCCACUGUCACGUUUUGGAACUGACUCAGGUUCCCAUUUAUAUUGGCUGGUUAGGGCAGUGGUAAUUAGACGUGCAAUUUGUUUGGACCAAAUCAAAGUUAGUCCAAUUCUUCAAAUCAGCUGCGUUCGAAUUUCUGAAUCGCCACAACAACAAAACAGAAUGAAACAAAUGUCACUGAACCAAAACGUUUUGGAUCCAUUUGCUUUUAUUUGACUGGCUGAAAAGUAGUAAACAUGGGAACGUAGUGUGGACCAAUAAAAUCAUUCAUUUUAUGGCAAGACUUGCUUAAACCUUCUUUACUGAACCUCACAGCAGCAAAGAAACAGUAAAAAAUGUACACACAAAAAAUCAACCAAUCAGAAUUCAUAUCAGGAGCAUAUAGUAUAGUGAGACUCCUCCCAACUCCUAUUUCUUUGCUGUUUGCCUCUCACAUGAGUAUUCUAAUUACAGUCCUAGUUUUGAUAUAGUCGGAUGUGCUACUGUGAUUUGAUGCAUCUUAUACUUUUCUUUUGGAAAUUUCUUUACUCAUAUUAAAGUUUUUUUUAGACCUUUCAUGCAAAUUUGUCCCCAUUCCUUUGACUUUCUAAGUCAGUCCCUCUUUAUUAUGCCUCUUUGCUGUCUGUUUCAACAUUUUUUCUUGUUAUGUUUCCUGUAAGCUUUUUAUCACCACCAGUCUGGUCAGUGUUUAUACACUGCUCUUCCUCUCGGCAGCUGUGGUUCACUUUGCUACCUCUCACUAGGAACUUCAGGUUUUGGAUGAGUAUUGCGCUGGCUAUUCGGAUGAGGAUUUUCCUACGAAUAUGCAACAAGAUCCCGCUUACUCCGAAUUCAUUAAGGUUCCAUCCCAACAUGCUUUUUUUAGACACUAAUUCUCUCAAAGCACAAGAUUAGACCUCUGACAUCCUAAUGGUCACCACCUAUUUGACUGUAAAACUAUUAGGCACUCUUGCUCAGAGAUCACAUUGCUAUUUAUUGCAGGAUGUGGCUUUGUAAGCCACUAGAUAAAGAGAUUUUGGCUAAAUUGAGAGAAAAAUACCCCCGGCCUACUAUUUCGGAUAAUGCGGUUGACCUAUUGCUGGUCACCAUCCUUAGCAAAGACCCAAAUAAAGGCCUAGAACAAGGCUUAAAGACCACUCAAAACAAACUUUUAGAUAUUGCAGGACCACUGAUUCAGAUUUUCAUUCUUGCAGAUGAGGCACUGUCAGGUGGGACUUUUGGAUACUGCUUGGGGACUCCUAAUUAAUUCAUGGGCCCCGGGGCUAGAAGCUCCUAUCUCUCCGCAUGGUGGAUCUAGUGUGUGGAAAGAUACAUUAUUAAUCCCUUUUCGGCCUCUUUAACUCACAUUAUGAUUUUUUUUAUCUUCACUCUACGAGCAAGAAAAAUCUUAGCAGUCUAGCAAUGCCUUUUGGUCUUUUACCUCAGCGGCACACGUUCCGGUGGAUGAUUCCUCUGUGGGUAACCACCCAUCCAUCUGUAAGCUCUUACGUGGCAUCUGUUUGGCCAGACAUCCAGCUCCUAAAUAUUUCUACUUUUGGUACAUUGCACAGGAUGUUUUUUUUAUGCCGCUUUUUCCCUACGGCACCUUUGAGCUAAAUUAGCUAAAUUACUUUGAUUUUCUUAGAAGAGUCUCCGACAUUCAAGCUUUCGACUUUCAUGCUAUUGUCUUUGUCCCAGAGCUUGUGCUUUUUCCCCAUUAAUCGAUAUACCAAAGCGAAUUAAUCCUUGUGGUUUUUACCUUUAUUUUCCAGAGAGACCCUCUCUCUGUGUAGCUUGCUGUGUCCAGCAAUACAUUACUAAUACGACCCCUCUUAAUGCACCUUCAGGGCCCCCUUUUAUUUCUUAUGUUAACCUCACAAACCGGUUUCUUGCCCUACGAUAGCUCACUGGAUUAGAUUGAUUCUCACUAUGGUAGGAAUUGAUUCCUCUUUUGGAUGUCACUCCAUCAGAGGCACAUCUUCCUCUUCUGCCUUAGUUGUGGGCAGCUCCCUCUCUGACAUUCUGUCCUCUGCGGAUUGGUUGAGUAGUUUAUUUUAUUGACCUACUUCAGACCUUCGUCUCAUGCAUCUUUUUAUUUAGUUUCCGAGCGGUAAAACAGCAAAUAUGAAGCUUCCUGUCUUGCCAUAAAAUUAGGAGCUGGCAAAGGCUGGUGGCCAGUCAGUGCACUUCACAAUCGACUUAUAAAGUGCUCCUUAUAGUGAACAUCCCUUGUGAUUUACAAGACGUUAGUGGCAGUUCCUGAUAAAUGUAACUAGUUCAGGGGCAGGGAGCUCAACCACGGCAGUCAGUGCUUCAGUAGGCAAGCAGCAGCUUUCCUUUCUCCACCAUGCUGAUGUGAUGGACAGGUAGUUACUAAAAAAGAUGGUGGCACAGUGGCAAGGAGGCACAAAUGGUGACUGACAAUGCAGAAAAUAUGAUCAAGGCUCUUAAUGAUGGCUGAUUUGUCGAUGUGCGCUGCUUAGCUAAUGUCCUUCAUCUGGUGGUGAAGGCUGCAAUUGGUAAGGAAACAACUGGUUGGUUGGCAACCAUUCUUGAGUCUUGUAGGAAGAUUGCUGGCCACAUUCAACAUAGUGUUAAGGACAGCCAGAUCCUGAGAGCAGAGAAAGUCAGGCAUUGAACAGUACUAUCUCUAACAAGACAUAGGGACUUUGGAGAUACUGGAUCACAUUCUGGGAUCAUUAGGCACAGAAGAUUGGUCAAUGUUUGAUGGAUGGUUUUAUUUUAAAUCGGGAAGUAGUACCUGUUGGCCAACUACUUGAGGAUGUUGGUGCACUUGUCAGGAGGCUCAAUGAGAAACGGAUGCAUCAGUUCAAUGAGAUGUUACUCCACAAAAAUUCCCUGACAGGCGGGAGGGAUACAUUGACUGACCAAGUGCUUGAUAUGCAUAGGAAGAGAUUUGUGUUACUUGAGGGAGAAGAAGAGCUGGAGGAGCCUGAUAUCGUGGCACCGACACUUUGCAGCAUCAGCACUGCUCAAUUCACUGGAGCCGGCACUGCUCAAUCCACUGGAGCAGCUGCUUUAUAAACUGAAGCCCUGGAUAGUUUGAUGUGACCCACUUAACUUUCCUCCAGGAAAAGUAGAUCUGCAGAGAUUUUGAAGCCUUACCUUGGCAAACCUUCUUUGUCCCCUGCGGCAACACUCAGAUCUCGCGAGAGGAACCCGGCGGAGCUGCUGGUUGAGCUCCGCGGGUCCUCUCCUGCCUCCCUCCAUGCUGCAGUGGGGAGGGAGGCUGAGAGCAGAGCCAGUGCUCGGAUAGCGCCGGCUCUGCAUGAGCCGACAGGGGAGAUCCUGAGAUCUCCCCUGCCGGUCUCACUCCAUAGGCGUGCCGGGGGAUUAGGGUGUGCCCAGGCACACCCGGCACACCCCGUGCGCACGCCUAUGGUCACACCAUGGACAGAGCAUUAGGGGGCAGAAAAUCUUUUUUUUGCCUAGAGCAUCAAAAAUCCUUGAUCUGGCUGUAUGUUUAUUCACCUAAGGGUUUAUAUCAACUGCUAAUUUUGCCACCUUCAUUAAUUAUCCAUUUGGAAUAAUGGGCAUUUGAAUUUCGGAAAUUAGCAAAACUUUUAAAAAACUUUGGUUGAACCGAAAUGCGAAAACUAAAAAAAACAACUAAACAAAACUUUUUCCCAUGAACAUUUCUAGUGGUCACUUCCUAAGAAUUUGAAAACCCAUUUUCCAAUCUCCAUUCGACCACCUUACCAGUAAGUGCUCCUACUAGCAAUACAUACCUUAUAGAUUGUAAGCUUUUUUUGAGCAUGGCCUUCCUUUCCUCCCCGUUCUAUUAUUGUAAAGUGCAGCAGAAUAUGUUGACCUUACAGAAAUUAUAAUCUUAAACAUGGUAAUGCUGUAUAUAAUGUGUUGUAUAUGAGGAUCAGUUAGGAUGAAAAAGACUGAUGGUAUGGGGAAAAAGAGGCUGUCAGAAAUAUAGUGGACUUGAGUCCAUACUCUAAGGCAGGGGUAGGCAACCUAUGGCACGUGUGCCAUGCACGUCACUCGCGGUAUCUUUGCACGGCACUCAAUGCUGCUAGAGCCAAACAGGCUUCUCUGGCCUUUCAGGAGUCCCAGUGGAACUUCAGAUAUUUGCUAAUGAGAAAAGGUGGUGAAGGACAAUCCUCAUUUUAUGCAUUGCAGUACUUGUAAAUGGGAAUCCACACUGGAGUAGAGCAGCCUGUAGCAGCCAUCACAGUUCCUGCCCUUGAUCUGUACAUGGCCAGCACGGUCCCUACUGGACCCCAGGGAAGUAUCCCCUCAUACAAAUAAUACAAACAGCUCACACACAAACACAACACUACUAACAAACUAAAUACACGCACACAACCCCACAAGCAGCCUCUCACAUGCAAUAACCCAAGCAGCCCCACGCAUACACACCCCACCAAACACACAAUGUGAUAUAUCAUCCACAAACACAAUUCCAUAAGCAGCCCCCAUAGACAGUCGACAUUCAUAGGUAUCAUACACAAUACCACAAACUACUCAUGAAUAUAUACACUAUAACAGCUCAUAUGCACACAAAUACAAUGAUAUAAACAGCUGCAGUAUAAAUAACAAAAGCAGAAUACGGCAACAUAUACACCUCAUUUAAAAAAAUUUAGGACCGGCUUCACAAUCUUAGUUUGGCACAGUACUGAGCGGAAUAAAAUGCCUGUGGCAAUACUGCAUCUUUGAAUCUUGAAUAAUAGUCUGUGCAUCAGAAGGAACCAUAGUGGUUUAUGCAUUUAAAUGAGAAUUGCAAAGUUUAGUUCUAAAAAGCCAGAUUGAAAACAAUUUCCCAAGACAGCUAGUUUUCCAGUAUGAAUAUUUCUAGCUUAAAUGUUGCAGUUCUCUCAGUUUCUCCCAAUUCUGAGUUCAAGUUAAAGUUCCCCUUUGACCACAGAUCCCAUACUAUUAUGUCAUAAUCCAUUUUAUUACUGUAUCACUUACUUUAUUACCUUAAAAAGUGGGACUUCUGUUUAAUAAAUUUAGUAUGGGCGAAAUUUUUUAAUUAGUCUUGAUGUAUCAUUAAAUAUAUACACACUGCUAUAAACAGUGUGUCCAACCCAUAAUUCAGAGCCGCUAGCACAUGGACAUUUUAAUUAUAAGGCAACAUUUUUAUUUUAGUUUAUGGUUGCAAGUUAUGUUUCAGUGAAUCAGAGAAUGUUUAGAUAUAACAAAAACACCCAUAAAUUACAAGUAAUUGUUAUUUAUCUUCACAAAAGUAGCUGUUAUUUUGCAACAACCAUUGGAAUUUUCCUUAAACUUAUUAAAUCACUUUUUGUUCCAUAAUAAAACACCUGAAAAUAAUCGGCUCUAAUUGGUUGUUUAACCCCUUCAGGACGGAGUCAAUUGUACACCUUCUGAUCAAAACAAAAACUGGAAUUUGCGCUGUAUGUCUGUUCAACCGUAAUUCACCUCUUUCAUAUUAAGUGCUUGUAAUAACUGUCUGUGUGUUUAUUUAAUUGAAUAAGAGAUAUAUAUAGAUAGAUAGAUAGAUAGAUAUUUCUUCUUGGGCCAAAAAAUGCUCGCAACAUUAAUAUAUGUCUACAUUAAUGAAAAGUACUAAUACGCAAUCUGACGUUCUUUAUAAAAAAUAUGCAUUUAUUCUACUUCAACAGCAAACAAUAAUAUACUUAAUAGAUGGUAUUUCUUAACGACGUUACAGAGAGCACCUCAGGACAUCAGAGAGGAGAGCAAAAUGGAUCGUAGAAGGAAGAGAGCGUGGUCCUUUGUCCUCUGCCCUAUAUAGCCCAAAUUACGUCAUAAUGUUUAGUUUAGACUCUGGCCGUAUAAGGAAAUUCCCCAUAUAAAGACCACCCCAAAUCUCUUAUACCGCAAAUUCCAGAGAUCUCAUGGUACAGAAUAGCAAACGCCAUCUGUUCUGUUUAACCCAUUAGACAGCCACGCCUUAAUAUGUAUUUGAAUAGGAACAUAUAGAAUAUGCAUUAUUUUACAGUGCUCCCACACUCAUUAUAUAUCAUUUUGUUCAGAAGAAACAGGGCUUUAAUUACUCAUGAACUAUUCAUAUAUAAAACAUAAUUUAUUAUGAAUAAAGUAAAAAAACUGUGAGAAAUUAAGAUUUUGAAACUAAUUUGUAGUUCCACCUGACAUUUUAGCUGUACAUAUCAUAAUACUGUUAGCUUUUACUGCAAUAAAAUGCACAUAUUUGUAUUCAGCAACGUCUCACGAGUACAAUAGUACCCCCCUUUAACAGGUUUUACGGUGUUUUGGAAUGUUACACGGUCAAAUAUAGCACAUUCCAUUUUUCUGUUUUUUUGCAAAUUUAAAUUUGCCAGAUUAGUAAUGUUACCUUUGAGGCUGUAUGGUAGCUAGGAAUGAGAAUUACCCCCAUGAUGGCAUACCAUUUGCAAAAGUAGACAACCCAAGGUAUUGCAAGUGGGGUAUGUCCAGUCGUUUUUAUUAGCCAAAAAUUCAUAUUUGGCCAGUGUUUGUGACUAAGUGGCUACUAAAAAAGACUGGACAUACUCCACUUGCAAUACCUUGGGUUCCUUACUUUUGCAAAUGGUAUGCCAUCAUGGGGAUAAUUCUCAUUCCUGGGCUACCAUACGGUCUCAAAGGCAACAUUACCAAACAGGCAAAUUUCAACGUGAAAAAAAUGAAAUGCAAGCCUUAUAUUUGACUCUCUAACUUUCCAAAACACCAUAAAACCUAUACAUAGGGGGUACUGUUAUGCUUGGUAGACUUCACUAAACACAAACGUUAGUGUUUCAAAAUAGUAAAAUGUAUUACAACAACAUCGUCAGUAAAAGCGCUGUUCAUGUGUGAAAAAUUCAAAAAACUUCACUUUUACUAAAAAUAUCAUCGUUGUAAUACAAUUUACCAUUUUGAAACACUAAUAUUUAUGUUCAACAAAGUCUCCUGAGUAAAACAGUACCCCCCCAUGUACAGGUUUUAUGGUGUCUUGGAAAGUUACAGGGUUAAAUAUAGUGCUUGUGAAUUACAUUCUCUGCACUUUCUGCCUGGGUUGUCAGGCAUGUCAAUCAAAUUUUAAUUAAUAAAAUCACAUAAUUAUGCCAAAAGAUUAUUUAAAUAUAGACUUCGAAUUUUGAGAUAUAAAAGAAAAUGUAUUCCUACUUACCGUAAUUUUCUUUUCCUGGUCAUAGGCCAUGGCAGCACAGCAAUGGGUAGCUCCUCCCUAUCCCUAACUAGACAGGAACGUGAUUAAAACAGGAGGUAUAAGUAACCCCUCCUACCCCUCCCACCCUCAGUCUUAUUUCCAGCAAUAUCCCAGGGUGGGAUCUUUGUGCUGCCAUGGCCUAUGACCAGGAAAAGAAAAUUACGGUAAGUAGGAAUACAUUUUCCUUUUUCCUGGCCAUAUCCAUGGCAGCACAACAAUGGGUAAUACCCAAGCAAUAACCAAGGGAGGGAAAGAAGUACACAAGACUUCCAAAAUAUGAAUGCAAAUUGACAACCUACACACACCUCAUAAAGACAUUCAAAAUGAAAAAACUGAUUGCCCACUAAUGGCACAUUAUCAAAUUGACCAACUGAAAUGUACCCAAAAAAAAAAAAUGUCUGAAAAUUGAUUGAAGACCAAGCAGCCAUUUACCUACAAGUUCCAGGGAAGCUUGGCCACCGAUGCUCAAAAGGGGGGAAAUGGCUCUAGAGUAAACAUACCUUUAAGUACUGUAAUCCCUAGGGCAUAGUAGCCUAAAAAACUGCCAAGACUAUCCACCUGCUGUUGGCUUUUAUAGAGGCUUGAAGAUCUUUAUGGUCUAUUAGUAAAGAUAAACAGAAGAAAUCCAGAAAGCAGAUCUAUAAAAAUAGAUCUUAAAGCAUCUAUCUAGGACAGGAGGAGAAAGUUUUAUUAUGGACUCUACAUUCUAUGCAAAAUAGUGCUUGAGGAUCUAGUAUCUUUCAGUCCAUGCCAAUGUCACCGAUAGAGCUAACUUAAUAUUAAGCAAUUGUGGAGAGAUAUAUUCUCAUGGUUAAAAGGGGUGAAGAUUUCAGAGCCCUAAAAAAAAACAGGAAAGAAUUCCACGGAGAGCAAUAGAUAACCGUGGGAUCAUAUAAAUAUACCGACAGAAAUUUAGAUACUUCCAUAUUAAAGCCCUUUCACGAAAAGAGAGAUCAAAGAGUGCUGAGACAUAUCUCUGAGGGGAUGUGGCCAAUUCCUAGAUAAGUCCUGGAUUGAAGAACUUAGAACCUUCUUGGUAGAAUGAAUUUGAAUGAAAACCUAAUUAGAAAUAGACCAGGAAAAAAUGCAUCUCAACUCUGUAAAGGUAGCCAAGGAUAUAAGUUUUCCAUGGCCCUCAGAAGGGUAUUAAUUACUGUAGUUCAAAAACUCUUAUAUUUAAGCCCUUCUACAUUAUCGAAACCUUCAGAAUGAGGAAAGUAGCACUGGACCUGAUGGAAGAGGGAAGAACUAUUGUGGGAGAUCCCAUGGAAGGACUGAAGAAGAUAAGUAGAAGUGGAAACCAUGGACUGGGUAUUAAUGUGGAACUGUCAGGAUGAUUGAUAUUGGCUCUUGCAACCUAUGCAGAAGAGAAAUGUUGGAUGUUAAUAUGUGUAAUAUGCUAGUCUGAAAAGAGCUGUACCAUGCCUUGGACCAUGUCAAACUGUAUUCCCAGCUAUACCCUGAACUGGGAUGGAGUAAGGUGACUACAGCAGACAUUCAUCUUUCACCAUGAAGAUGUAAAAAUAAAAGUGAUGUCAGGCAAAGGAUACAUGGCAAUAAGCAUCCUGCAAAUCUAUAGACAUCCUCCAAUGUACUAGGAAUACUACCGUUAUAAAUAAGAAUGUUCAAGCAUCCUGUAAAUUAGAAUGGAUCUCCAACACCUGUUAGAAACAGAUUAUUUGUGUUGUAGUUGCUUUUUUUUUUUAAAAAAAAAUCUCACAAUAGCUUCCUCUAAUUGAAGGGUAGUCAUGAGAUUUACAAAGCAUCUCUUUUUACCUUUUCUCUUCCUCUGGUAGAAUAAUGACAUAUACAAGCUGUUGUAAUUCCUACACCGUUCACCUGAUUUGGAUGUAAAUACCCUCAAAUUAAAGCUGAAAGUCUGCAGUUAAAGCACAUAUUGUUUGUUUCAUUUCAAACCCAUUGUGUUGGUGUAUAGAGCCAAAAAGAUUAGAAUUGUGUCAAUAUCCCAAUAUUUAUGGACCUGACUGUAUAUAUAUAUAUAUAUAUAUAUAUAUAUAUAUAAUAUUUAUAUAGCUUAUAUAUAUGUAACUUCAUUCUAAGUGUAUUUUAAUACUAAUAUAAGUACUUAUAUUAAUAUUAGUUCCACAGCCAGCUAUAGGGGGCCAUUUGAUCGCUCUUUGAGCUGUUGGAGGGCUGCCUGGGCUGUCAGGCAGUCCUCCCGAAGAGGAUCUCGGCGGAGGUAAGUCCACCGGAGCUCCUUGGGUAGAAAGCUGUUACGGUGUUCUUUGCUGCCGCAAGGGCUUUAGAGCCCAUUAUAAUGGGGACGGCAUAGAACGCCGUAACGCCGUUAAGGGGUUAAAAUCUUUAAAAUGUCACAUCAUUUUUUUGGUUUGUGCAUUCUGAAGCUAACCUUUACUUGUAAAAAAAAUAUUUUUGUAAUUUUGAUGUGCUGUAGAAAUUACUUAUGUGUCUAGUCUCUAAGCAAUUAAAUUGUCAACGUCAGGAAACAUUACAGGUUAGUUACUAAAUGGAGAAUUCAAAGAUAAUUACAAAUUAAAGGCUAGAGUAGCCAAACUGAAAGCAUAGCUGACUUAGAUAAUUUUUCCAGUUCAGCUAUUUUGACUUUAACUUUUAAAUUUGAACAUUAUAACUGUUACACUGUUACAUAUGUUAAAUAGAAGCGGCCCAGAACAGAACCCUCAGGGACACCACUUACCAACUCUCUGUAUUUUUAAAGGACCACUCUAGGCACCCAGACCACUUCAGCUUAAUGAAGUGGUCUGGGUGCCUGGUCCAGCUAGGGUUAUCCCAUUUUUUUAUAAACAUAGCAGUUUCAGAGAAACUGCUAUGUUUAUAAAUGGGUUAAUCCUUCCCCCCAAAGCCUCUAGUGGCUGUCUCAUUGACAGCCGCUAGAGGCGCUUGCGUGAUUCUCACUUUGAAUGUCACAGUGAGAGGUCGCAAGCGUCCAUAGGAAAGCAUUGAUAAUGCUUUCCUAUGCGACCGGCUGAAUGCGCGCGCAGCUCUCGCCGUGCUUGCGCAUUCAGCCGACGGGGAGGAGAGGAGGAGGAUCGGAGGAGGAGAGCUCCCUGCCCAACGCUGGAAAAAGGUAAGUUUUACCCCUUUUCCCCUUUCCAGAGCCGGGCGGGAGGGGGACCCUGAGGGUGGGGGCACCCUCAGGGCACUAUAGAGCCAGGAAAACGAGUAUGGUCCUUUAAGCCAAUGUUCUACCCAGGAACAAGAAUUUUCCUGUAAUAUCUUUUAGUUUAAACAUUAACCUCUUGUGUGGAACUGUAUCAAAUGCCUUGGCAAAAUCCAAGUAGAUCACAUCCACUGCAACACUCCAAUCUAUACUUUAUUUACAUCUUCGUAUAAUGCAAUUAAGUUAGUUUGACAUGACGUAUGUUUCAUAAAACCAUGCUGAUUAUUGCUAAUAACAAUGUUCUUCUCAAAUAAUCCCAGAGUAUUAUUCCUUAAUAACCUUUCUUUUGUGUUUUUUCUCCAUUAUUGGGAAGUCUAAAUUAAAUAAUUAAAGGGAAGGUGUGAGUAUAACAGUUUCAUGAAUUAAAUCAAAUAUCAGGGAUACUAUAAAUGUCUUGGUAUCGUUUAGUAUCGGGCAUGUAUACCAUAUAUGGAAUAUUGUGCCAAUCUCUUUCUGACAUCGCCAACAUAGAGGCGAAUAGGCUUCAUAGAUUUUGUGUAGUUUUGAAGGGACCUGGUACCAUCUAUAUAAGAUCUUUAGGUGAAGUUCUACCAGAGAUAUGCAAUGUAUAUAUAUUUUUUUAUUUGAUAGUGGUUUGGUACUAUUCAUAUGGGGUUUAAAUUACUUUCAGAGCCUUUUCCCAUUUGUCUAUUGGUGAAAUUUUUAUAACGUCAUCCUCCCCAUCUAAAACUUUAGAAGAUUUAGUUAUUAAACCUCUAUUUCCUACUUUAUCCAAAUAUCUGAAUAUAGGGUGUUCAAAAUAUAUAUUUUUAAAUUAAGAUAGUGUUUAAUCCUUAAUUAUCGAAAGGUAUCACUAAAGGGUAUAUUGUAUUUAGUUUAUUUAGUAUUAAGCACGGAAAACUAAUCAGAGCUUUAUCAACAAUUUUAUUUAUCCCCAAUAGCCUCCAUUUAUGUAUAUCCAAAUCAAUCAGGUCGUAUUGUAAAGUUUCUAUAGGAGCAUAUAUACGGAUAUAAGGAUAUAAGGAGUCUGAAAGAUUAAGUUUGCUUUUCAACUUUUUUAGCACAUCUAACAUAUCCACUAUUAUUUGAUUUUGAGGUUUUCUUUGCUUGAUUUUAAUUAUAUCUUCUGACCAGAAUACAGUAUUUACAUUUCCACAUGAACUGUUCUCUUGUUCUAUUUGGUACCAGGCGUUAUUCUGAAUAUUUGGGUUAGACCACAACAUUACACUGGCAACUUAUAUAUUGGGGAAUAUUGGGGAAUAUAUUGGGGAAUAUUGGGGAAUGAGAUACCGUCUUUGUCAUAUUUACAUUAAUUCAAGAUCUUUUGAGAUAUUCUUGGGCGUUUAUUUGCCCAAAUAAAGUUCGAAAAUAAUUUUUGGAAUUGUAUUACCUUAUCAUUACUUAAUCUAAAGGGUAAAGAUCUAAAUAAAUAUAACAAUUCCAGAAUAGAAUACGCCUUCACUAUAUUUAGGCACCCCAGCCAUGAGAUCUCAGUUUUGGUCCACUUGGUCAGUUGCUGAUUAAUAGAAGAAUAUAGAUUAUCAUAGUUACAGCGGAUUAUAUUCUGACUAUUAAAAGAUAAUAUAAGACCAAGACACUCAAACUCCGGGUUCCAAUUAAACCAAAAUGUGGAUUUAAGUAAAGAUAGUUCAGCCUCAGGUAAAUUUUUAACCAUAAUUUGAGUUUUCUUUAUGUUAAUUUUAUAGUUUACGAUAGCUCCAUAUGUUUCAGUUAUUUUUAAAACUUAUGGAAUAGAGAUUGCGGGCCUCGCCAGGGACAGAAGCACAUCAUCCGCUAAUAGAGAAAUUUUAUAUUCCCGAUUGGUUGAUUUAAUCCCAAGUACUUCUUUGUUGUCUCUAAUCAUAAUAGCCAAUGGUUCAAUAGAUAAGAUAUAGAGUAAUGGGGCCUAUGGGCAGCCUUGCCUCGUGCCAUUUUAUAUUGGAAAUGUAGAUGAUUCAAAAAAGGGAUUUAAAAUUUUAGUAGUUGCUACUAUAUAUAAUGACAUGAUUUUAUCUUUAAAGGGUCCUCAGAAUCCAAAUUUAUUUAAUACUCUAUCUAAAAACUUCCAGUCAACCCUGUCAAAUGCCUUUUCUGCAUCCAAUGCGAAAAUGGCCAAUUCUGAAUUCAUAAGAUUGCUUUUAAUAAUCAAAUUGAGUAUUAUACGGAUAUUAUCUGUCCCUGGUGAAACCCGACUGGUCUACCACAACUAUAUCAGAAAUAACUGCUUUCAAUCUGUUUGCUAAAAUGUGAGAAUACAUUUUUAAAUCUAGAUUUAUUAAGGAAAUCAGUCUAUAAUGUAUUGUGUUCGUGGAAUCUUUUAGUGGUUUAGGAAUCAAAAUAAUAGAUGCUAACAGUAUCUCUUUAGGGAACGGAUUAGUAGUUGAGACAUCUGUAAAAACUUUCAGUAGUAUAGGGGCCAAAAUAUCAGCAAAAAUUCUAUAAAAUAACGUUGAAAAGUCAUCCGGUCAGUUUUUCUGGAGAGAUUUCCAGAAUUUCCAGAAUAGCAAGUUUAUUCAGAAACCCAUCUAUUUACAAGAUUGACACCUUAGGAUCUGGUAUAUUAUAUAAAGCGUAGAAGGAGUCUACAAAGGCCUAAGAUAUUUCCUUAGAGUUUAAAAAGCAUUUAUCGCCUACUAUUAUUUUUUUUCAUAGUUUUAUCUAUAAGUAUUUUUUAAUCUGUUCGUAAGAACUUUAUUAACUUUAUUAUUGUUGUGAUACCAUUUUUGCUUGAGAAAAAAUAAUAGAUUUAUUCGCCUCAUCCAAGAGCUUUUAUUAAUAUAAUGUUUAAAGCAUAUAAUUUCAUUAGUGAUAUCUAGGGUUGUUUGUGACUUAUUUUCUCUUUCAAACUUAGCCAACAUAAUAUGUAGUUAAGAGAUACUUUCUUCUUUUUUUUUUUCUUUUGACUCGAGUCUGCUUUUAUCAGAACCCCUCUAACAAAAAUUUUAAAUGAGCACCAAACUGGAUACUUCCCCAUUAUCAUUAAUUUGAAUAAAGUGCUUCAUUUCUGCAGCUAAUUCAGCAGGUACCUUAUCAAUUUGUAGAAGACUUUAAUUCAGUCUCCAUCUGUUUCUGAUUUUGAAAGGGGAUGGAGAUUUAAAUGUUAAAAAACUGGGGCAUGAUCAGAUAGGAUAAUUGAGCCAAUCUUGCAAUCCAUAAUCUAACAAAGCAGGACUAACAAAAAAAAGUAAAUCUGAGAAUAGGUCUAAUGGACAUGAGAAAAAUAGGUAUAAUCUCUCGAUUGUGGGUUAAAGGUUCUCCAACAAGCGAAGAGGGAGAGUUCUUCAGCAAAAAUUCAUCAAAUUUAUUUGCAGCUGUUUUAAUUUUUGGGUCCCAUUAUUUGUUAUUGUGUUUGCUUUUAUCUAGUUUUAAGUUGGGAACACAGUUGAAAUAACCUCCAAAAAUUAACAUUUCUACACUUAACCGUAUCAAUUUUAUGAGCACAAUCUUCCAGGAAACCCACUGAGAAAUCGUUAGGAACAUAUACAUCUACCAAAGUAAAUAUUAUGUCAUUUAACUUGGCAAUUAAAAGUAAAAAUCUACCAUUUAUAUCAAUUUCCGAAUUUAUAUAUUCAAAUUUAAGAUUUUUUGAUAAAACAAUAGCCACUCCUCUUCUUUUAUGAUUACCUUCAAGAUUGGCAUAGUAUACUACUGGAAAAUAAUUAAAGUGCCAUAAUUUUUCAGGAGGACAUAUCCAAUAAGUUUCCUGGAUGAAGGCUAUAUCUACCUUAUUUUCCUUUAAAAAUGUACUCCCCCAUUUCUGGUGUGAAUACACAUCUAAGUGUCAUCUAAAGCCAUCAUACCCUCUAUAGUCGAGUCCCAAUAAUGCAGUCCUACACCAAUAACAAACAUAGAACAAAAUUAAACAAAGAAAAUAACAUAUCUUCUUGUUUAACUGAAACCUGCAACUUACUACUAUGAAAUUUUUUUUUAAAAAUUGAAUGAUUAAUAAUAAAUUAAUAUUAGUGAUUUGCAGUGGACUGCCUUUCUCUUUAUAAUUUUAUAAUUCAUGUAACUAAAUAGUUCUUGUACAGAUCAUUAAAGUAAAAAUAUAAGUAACAAUAGGGUGUAUAGAGUCAACCUCGGACCAUGUAUAAGGUCCUAUAAUAAAAUAAUAUAUUUACUUCCGAUAUUGAAGGAGUAGAUUUGAUUUUUACUCUGGUUAUUGAUCAAUAACAUAUCAAGCUUAGGCCCCAUCAAAGGUCAUAGUUCAACUUGCAUUAAAUCCUUCAUUAGCUGGGAAAAAAAUAAAUAUAUAUUUAAUAACUAAAUAAAUUUUAAUUGUAUAAUUGAUUCUUUAGCAGAUACUGGAUCUUUAAAGGGACACUAUAGUCACCAGAACAACCACAGCUUAUUUAAUUUGUUCUGUAAGGCUUUUUGCUGUAAACACUGUCUUUUCAGAGAAAAUGCAGUGUUUACAUUACAGCUUAGUGAUAACUUCACUGGUCACUCCUCAGAUGGCUGUUAGAGAUCCUUCCUGGGUCAUGGCUUUCUAAAAUGCAUCCAAACAUUCAGUAUCGCCUCCCUCUGCAUGCAGACACUGAACUUUCCUCAUAGAGAUUCAUUGAUUCAAUUUAUCUCCAUGAGGAGAUGCUGAUUGGCCAGGGCUGUGUUUGAAUUGUGCUGGCUCUGCCCCUGAUCUGCCUCCUUGUCAGUCUCACCCAAUCCUAUGGGGAAGCAUUGUGAUUGGACCAGGCUACCACUUCUGAUGAUGUCAGCACACUGCUUGUUUUUCUGAGUCUAACAGCAUGCUUCUGGCUUGAAUACAGUAAGAUUUUGCUAUAUUUAUGGGAGCAUGAGAGGCCCAGGGGGGCUAGAUGGUGGUUUUAACACUAUAGGGUCAGGCAUACAUGUUUGUGUUCCUGACCCUAUAGUGAUCCUUUAAAUACAUGUGAAUGAUCUUGAUAAAAUAUUACUAGAGCAACUGGAAAAUUCCAUUUAUAUCUAAUGUUCUUGGAUCUGAGCGUUGCUGUAAUUUUUAAUAUUGUGUAAUUGACUAAGGUAUUCCUCUGAUUUUGACAUUGUUUCUUCUGGAUCAAUCCUCUAUAUCCAUUAUUUAUUCUCCAGUUUGUCGACUCUAUCUUCUAAUAGUUUGUUCGAUGAAGACAAACUUUUAUUUUCUUCUUGUAAUUUCUGAAUUGUAUGAGUUUGUUCUGUUAGAGUACUGGUAAUUUGUGUAAGCUUUCCUCUCUCAUUCACUCCUUAUUCUUAUAUGACUUUCCCUUUAAUAUAUUUGGUAUACUGUCUUCUUAUAGCACUUGAUUUAUCUACCCCUUCUCAAUCCCCCUUCUCCUUGCUUUAUCCAAGCACAAAACCAACCAAAAAAAUUAAUAAAUAAGAUUAGCAGGGGGAAAAUUUGAAAAGUAAGCAAGUCUCACCAAGUCUCAGUUAAAUUCAAAUAAAUAUAAUGCAGUAAGGGAUCCUUAGUAACGUAUAGCUUCAGGUGCAGAAAUAAAAGCCAGCGCUAACUGAUGCACCGUGUGGCUGUGAGGUACACAGAUAAUUAAUUUUCAAAUGAAAUCCCGGUAGGGCAAAAAGCUAAUUUAGCUUAGCUUUUAACUUAUUGAUAACAUUUCAAAUACAUUUCCUGGUACAUGGGAAUAUAUAUAGGUAAUGCUAUCAAUUACAAUUAGAAUUUUGGCACCAAAAUGACGUCAUCAAUGUCAGACUGAAAAUUAGUACAUAUCACACAAAACAUAUUCCAAGCUUAUUUUAAUAACAGUUGUAGUUUGGGAGAAUGGGUAUUAUUAAUUGCAAGUAAAAACAAGGGUAAUUUCUAUGUUUAAACUGAUUUGCUAGUCUGAUAGUGUAAUUUCGCGUCACGUGGUCAUCUGCCACAAUAGCUUAUGGGGAUUGUAUCCCAGGCGUGGCUCGACCUUCUAGAGCGUCUGGCUGAAGCGACUGAGGCGGCUCGUGGGACGUGUGUAUGUGUUUGCACGUCCCACGACUAGAAUCACGGAGGAUGUAGUUUAAAGGGUACCGUUCAUACCCGGAAGUGCCUGCAGAGAGUAACUUCUUUUGUUUAUACAGGAGGAGAUAGCUGUAACGUAAUUCCACCCCAGUGAAGGGAUAGAUUAUGGGCAAAGUAUUUGAGCCAAGAUGUUUUUUAACCAAGAAGUUUUUUAACAAAACAAUAUUAGGGAUUGGGGGCGUGGCCUACCAUAAUCUGUCCAACAGGGCAGAUCCUGACGCCAUCUUGGAUGAGGGAACUUAGAGAGAUGGUAGGCAGAGAAAUAAAAUAAUAAUAAUAAUAAUAAAAUAAUAAAAAAAUAAAAAAAUAUGUACUGGACUCCUGCCCCGCUCCACCGGAUACUCCCAAUGGUAUCAGACACCUGUUGGAGGUGCAGAGUGGGCGUGGGGACCACGCAAAAUAUAUGGUGGGAUUGCCCUAGGAUAUACUGGAACGAGAUCAAAACAACGGCGGAGAUUUUGGGGAAGUCACCGGACUUCAAUCUCGCAAGUGUUUUUCUGCACUCAACUAAACUACCCAUCUCACAAUAUAAAAAAUCAAUCCUGCGACACUUGGUCAACGUGACCAAAUUGUUGGUGCCGGCCCUCUGGAAACAGACGAAAUCCCCCAACGACCGCCCAAUGGCUGCUGAGGGUGGAGGACAUCCUUGCCACCAAGGAGAGGCAGGCAGAACUCUUGGACCAAAGCGACAAAAAACGGAAUGGUGGUGACAGUGGUAUGUGUAUCUAGCAAGAACAAGAUAUUGACCUGGGGGGGGUGGGGAGGUGCUGGCUGAGGCGGGGCAGCCUGCAGGCGCCCUCCGGCAGUUUCUCUUCCUCCUGCGCCCUCCUUUCCCCCUGCAUUCCCCCACUGGGCCCCCGUACUGCAUCAUACUACUCCUUUUCUUGCCUUCUAUUUGUUUCUUCUUGGCUAUCUUUUCCUUUAUCCAGACAGAUCCCUUCCCUUCUUCCAACCAAAUUAUUCAUCACGGCACAGUGGAAAGACCCAUUGUGGACGCAGGGGACACCCCUGAGAUGGAGCACAUUUGUGUAACAACCCACACAACACCCACAUGCCUGACAAAAGUCUCAUCACCAACAUCCUAAUCCAUUUUGCAUAAACCACUAUGACUAUACUAGUAGCAUUUAAAACAAUUACACAUACAACAUGCCCAUACUUACAAACCUAGGAGGAACUCAAACACCCCUUCUUUAGGGAGUAGCCAGUAUAGAAUAUGACAACUUAACUUUUGCUACGCACGAAAGCUGAGCACACAUCCUUGUCUAUAUCAUUAUGCACCAGUUUUCCAUGUUAAUGGACACAAUCUAUAAAAAAAAUCUACACAAAUCUAUAAAAAAUACAAGAUAAGUGAAAAAUUUUAAAUAUAGAAUAAAUAGAAAUUUGAAUUAAAAAUAAAAUUAAUUAGGAAUUUUUAUAUGAAUAAUUAAAUUAAUAUGAAAUGACAAAAAGUUAAAAAGAUCACAUUCUGCAUUUAGACCAUCUGGGGAGAGAGUUUUUAACUGAUAGAACCAAUUCAUUUCUUUUUUGCCUAAGACUUUUCUCAUGUCUCCACCUCUCCAGGGUAUAAUGCAUUUUUGGAUUCCAAUGCAUUUUAAUAGUUUCGUAUUUUUAUUGUGUGUAAUAAAAUGUUUAGACACUGAGUGGUUUUCUUACCCUUUGGUUAUGUUGUGAAAAUGUUCCGCUAGUCUAAUCUUUAGACAUCUUGUAAUCAUACCUAUGUAUUGUAGUCCACAUGGGCACUCCAACAUAUAUAUUAAAUUGUUUGUGUUAUGUCCAAUAAAGUCCUUAAUUGGGUAUGGUUUACCUGUAUUGGUGGAGAAAAACUGAGUUGUUUUAGAUAUUAUUGCUGGGUCUGUAUUUCUGUAUUCUAUGCAUUUAUUGCAUUUCAAUAAACCUUUUGGUUUGGAUAAAAAACAUACUUUGUUUUUUGUAUCUUUUUUAGUAUAUUUUUUGUAAGGAUGCUCCUAAGGUAAGAGGUCCUCUAAAGAUAUUAGGUCUUUCUGGAAUUUGGUCUUUAAAAAGGUCAUCUUGUUUCAAAAUAGGCCAGUGUUUUUCUAUUAUUUUUUUCAUAGUCUUGGUUUUAUUGUUAAAAUCCAGAAUAAUUGGUAACACUGGAAGGUCACUUUUGUUUUCAUAUUAUCUUUUAUAUUGUAACAGAUCUUUCCUAUCUUUAUUUUUUACUGUAUUAAAAGCUUUAUCAAGAUUUUCCGAUGAGUAAUUUUUUUCAAUAAAUGUAUUUUAUAGGGUAGUUUGGGAUUCAAAAUGGUCUAUUUUGGAGCAGUUUUGAUGAAGACGCAAUAAUUGGCUCUUUGGAAUUCCUUCUAACCAUGAUUUGUGGUGGCAGUUUGACUGUGCUAAAAAGGUGCUUGUGCAUACUUUUUUUUUUUUUUUAAGUUUUGGUUGGAAUAGACCCAACUUGGAUAAAGAUAUUAAAAUCUAAAAAGUUAACUGAUGUGUUGCUGUAUUCUGUGGUUAGAAUUAUGCCUCUGUUAUUAGAAUUAAGGUGAUAAAAAAAAACAUUUAAGAGUUAUAUCUGUGCCUUGCCAAAUAAAAAACAGGUUGGCAAUAUAACGGAAGUAGGAAACCAGGUUUACCCGCCAGAGGCACCCUGAUUGGUUGGCUUACCAGCCAACCGAUCAGAAAGCGCUUGGUCAUAUUGCAAAUAGCUAUUAUAGUGUGGGAAAGCCUAAGAAAGGACUUUUCCCCGCUAUGGGCACUCAUUCUGCAGCAACUGCCUAUGGGUGAAGAUGAAUUAUUUUUGGUUGCAGCUUCAGACAAGAGAUCAACAACUUUUACAAGCUGUUUUUUAAUGUACCCCAAAAGAAAAAGUGCAUAAUUAAGUUAAUGCAUGUUUUCAUUGGGGUAUAUCUACCAAACAGUGGUUUGGUUUUGUAUUUUGUCAGUGGAGUAUCCCUUUAUUUUUUAGACCUCACACACAAGUUUCUCUGGGGAGUAUCCUGGGUAGUAUCAGUUCCACAGUACCUGCUAGAAUCCAAGAUGAUGGUACUUGCCAGUAGUACCCUGGAUGGAGCAUUUCCCAGUUUAUUGUGAGGUGCUAGCACCGUAAGACCAUGCUUUGUUCUCUACAGCAUCCCUAUGUCAACACUGCCUCUUUAAAAGAACACUACAGAUUUAGGAUACAUGGCAGGGAGACUGGCUGUCUCAACUCCCGAUAACUUGCCAUGCCGCUGGGGAGGGGAGGGGUUACUCUUCUCCCUGAAAGACCAACUGUUGCUGGGGAGAUGUCUGAGUGGUUAAGGACCCCAUGCCAGGGGGUUGGGGAUCACUGCCCAGCAUCCGAGGACUACACUGGUGGAGUACCUCCGCCAAGUCCGCUUGCUAGCCACUUGCAGGGACCUUGGAACGCUCCAGUCGUAGUCGCCACAGCUUGACUGGGGUCCUUCUGGAGCUUUUGCAUCCAACCAGGCAGCAGAUCUCCUUCCAGGCAGGUAUCGUUCCCUCUGCCUAUUCCGCUGCAGACCAUCUUCCAGGCAGGUAUCAUCCCCUCUGUCUAUUGCAUUGCAGCUCUGCUUACAGUGAUUAUAGUUAUUGCCUUUACAAAGGCAGUUGCAGCUCUCAGGCCUAGUUCUCUUGAUUUAUCCCAGGGAUAGAGGGAUCCUGAAACUAGUAAACAAGUGUGAAAACUCUGUCAGUAGGAUCCCUAAAAAUCCACACAGGACACAAGUUCCAAAAGAACUGACAUCCAAAACUUUAUUUUUCUCUGGUCUAGCCCAUAGACUUAUUAUAUGUAGAUUGCUCUGACAACUUAAAUAAAAUACAAAUAACCAAAUCAUAGCAGACAACAUACAGCAACUUAUUAUAACACAAUGACACAUUUAUAAAGGGGUGGGGAAGAUAAUAACACAAAAUAUCUCUCCUGCCUGCAGAAUUAGCAAUAUGCAAAUCUACCCAAAUAUGCAAAUUAGCAAACCUUGCUAUUCAUGUAGUGUAUAUAGCUGUUGCUGCAACCAACAGAGGGCGCUAUACAGGCUCCAUAGCCAAAUCAAACACAAACAAUUAACAAUAAAUACAUAAUACACAUACAUUACACACCACAUGCACCUACAAUGGGCACAGGGUGACUUAAACAUAGGAGUCAUCCAUGGAUCUAAUUGAAGUGUCCAUCUUAUGUUCCCAGUGAUGGUGACUACUAUUUAACUAAAAUAAUAACACAUAUCAUAAUUAUUCAUGUAUUUGCUUAACCAUCAAUGUUUGCUAAAUGAAGUGGUUAAAUUAAAUAUCAUUAACAAUACGUGUACUUUAAUAGUUUGCCCUCUAACCUGAGUUCCCUGCAUGCGUUAUACCUUUUCUGAUGCUUGGUGAUGCACACCUGGUUACACCCCCUGGUUACAUCAGAGCUUCAGAAACCAGAUGCCAAUCCCACUUGUGUCAGCUGAGCACUCUCUGCCAAUGAAUGACCCACUGUGCCAAGGGUAUGCACAGAACUGACAUUAGCCAACCUGGAACUCUUAUUCCAGACUGGCGACUAAUGUACUAAUGACACUGCUGGAGGUGGAGUUACACCUCUGACAGCAAUAUAAGAUAUAUCAGUAUGUGCCUAGUUUCAUAUUGAACAUUUGAGCAUACAGACUCCAUGCACAAUGGCCUCUUCAAAUUACUGAAGUGAUCAUAAUGCUUGGAGUAACCCUUUAAGGUAAGGCAUUCAUUGUGUUAGACAUCCUACGUCUCCCAGUAGUUCUGGGAAACUCAUGCAUUUGUCAAGCUCCUUGACACCCGCUCAUACAAUAUCCCCGAAUAUACACACACAAUUUCAUGUGUGUGUGAUUUCUAUUAUAUUGUAUGCAAUUUGCUUUCCCUGACCCCCCAUAAUAUUUGCUAAACAGGGGCCCUGGUCGGGUGCAGGCCCUGUAAGAGCCCACAGGGGGCCUGUGAUAUCAGCCAGCAGGGAGAAAGUUAGAACCAUUUCCUCCCAGUUUCAUAAAGAACCGCACGGUAGUAGUGGAGGGAGGAGGCUAGAGGGAGCAGAGGAGAACCGAGCAGCAUGGAGACAGAGGAGAGCCUGGAGUGAGCUGCUGCUGCAUGCUCACUCCCAUCAGCCUCAGCGAGGACCAGGCCACUCCCCCUCCUCUCCCCAGCAAGCCACCCUUCUGGACAGAAAGGUAAGCUAAUUAGAGGGUGGCUGCAAAUAUAUAAACAUGUCUGACGUCAUAUUGUGUGCAUGCCAAUAUGUCUGUUUCUGAGUGUAUGCGCCAGUGUGUGUAUCUGAGUGUGUGCUUUUAUCUGUGUGUCAGUGUGUGUAUCUGAGUGUAUGUGCCAGUGUGUGUAUCUGUGUCAGUGCGUGUAUCUAAGUGUAUGUGGCAGUGUAUGUAACUGAGUGUGUGUCAGUGGGUUUACCUGAGUGUGUGUCAGUGUGUAUCUCUGAGUGUAUGUGCCAGUGUGUGCAUCUGUCCGUUAGUGUGUGUAUCUGUGUUUGUGUUUCAGUGUGUGUAUCUUAGUGUGUGUCAGUGUUUGUAUGUGCCAGUGUGUGUAUCUGAGUGUAUAUGUCUGUGUGUUUCAGUGUGUGUAUCUGUGUGUUAGUAUGUAUCUGAGUGUGUGAAUGCACCAGUGUGUGCAACUGUGUGUGUAUGUGCCAGUACUUGUAUCUGUGUGUCAAAGUGUUCAUGUGUGUGUCUGUGUGGUGGGGGAAGAGGGUAGUGUGGGGUUACGCAGAAGCUGGUGAAGCGACCUACCUGAAAUGCAUUUUGCAUGUUGGGAUGUCUGUGUACAUAGAUUUACAGAAUAACACAGGAAAUUUGUAAGUUUAUAUUAUAUUUCACAGUGAGAAAGUACAUGUUAUCUUUUGCUGACACAAGAUUAAUUAGCUUUAAUUAAUUUACCAAAAUGUAAAUAUAGCUUCAUGAUACAUAACUAAUCCAUGUUUUGUGAUGAAUAAUCUUUGAACUAUAAUCUACUUUUAAUAGGAUACAUUUAUAGAUUUUUGAUUCAAAAAAGCACUUUAUCAAAAGAAAUACAAUUUAAAUAAAUACAAUUUGAUUUAAAUAAUAAAAUUUAAAAAGUCUGAUUUUUUUAUUUUCAUUUUCUUAGAUAAUUGAUUUUUAUCCACCUUAAAUCAGAUGCCUAUAAAUCCUAUAAAUUCCCUGAAAAAAAUCUCAAGUGCAUGUAUAUCCUUAUCCAUGUCUAGUGGUCUCCUAUAUACCGUACCCAUGCGUAGGAUAAAUACAAUUCAAGAAUCUUGCAUGCAGUAUUGCAUGCGUAUGUAUAUAGGAUGUUUUGUGGCGUACACACGAUCCAUGGGGCCCUGGUGCGAAAACUGAUUUGUGCGCCCCCUGGCGGUUACACCGCACAGGUUGGGGCCGCAACACAUGGCGGCGGGCACCCGGUCACAGGGGUCCGCAGGGCGGCUGGGCCCCCUGUAAUGACGGGGCUGGUCGCCGUUGCGACCUCUGCAUGUACACCACUGUACACACACAUAUAUACAUACAUACAAACACACACACAGAGACAAAUAUAUACAGACACACACAUACAUCCAAACACAUACAUACAUACAAACACACAUACAUACAGAUACAUACAAACAAACACAUACACAUAUAUACAGACACACACAUACAUACAAAUACAGACACACACACACACACAUACAUACAAACACAGGCAGAUAGACACACACAUACAGACACACAUACAGAGAAACAUUCAUACAGACACACACACAUACAUACAAACAAACAAACACAUAUACAAAAUAUUUUAGUCACCAUCCUGUUUCCUACCUAUUAGAUGGAAGAGGGUGACUUCCCUGGGGUCCAGUGGUGGCUCAGCCUGAUGGGAGUCAGAGUUCCAAGAGUUCCUCUCUUCCUCCCGUGCGGCUCCCAUUGUAAGCUGGGAGGAGUGUUGGGGCACCUGGUCGCAGGGGUCCGCAGGGCAGCAGGGCCCCCUGGAGUAAGGUGACCAGUCGCAGCUGUGACCCCUGUGACCGUGGUAUGUACACCACUGGGGAUGUUUGUUUUAUUCUGUGCGGUUAUGGGCUUCCUGUUAUGUUAUAUAUGUGUGUGCACUGUUUAUGGUAGUUAUGUAUGUGAAGUUGUCCGCGGUUUUAUGGGUAUGCAUGUGAACUGUUUGUGGUAUUGUGUGUAUGUGUCUGUUGUGCUAUGUAAGUGUGUCUCUAGUGUUGUGUGUAUAUGAGCUGUUUGUAAUAUUGUUUGUGUUUAUGUGGGCUGCCUUUUGUGUUAUAUAUUUAUAGAAAAUGCAAAAUCUUUCACUGAAUACUCUGUGAUAUUAAAAUUUCACCAAAAAAAACACCAAGUGCCCUUAGUGAAUUAACAAUAUAGAUAACUUCCCUCUAAGUUGUAGAUUAUGACCCGAAGAUCUCCUCAAAUCUUCCACAAACACAUAAAUUAUAUAUGUAUGAUGUUAUAUGCUUAUUUGUAAUUCCUAGUAGUACUUAUAUGUGAUGUGGGCAGUCUGGCAUAUUAACAGAGCAGAACAGAAGGAGUUAACAAGUGGACUGUCUGGCACCUCACACCACUACUCACUGUAUGAACAAUGAGGGAUACUGCCAUUCAUUUGAUUUUCUUUUCUUUUUUUUUUCUUCUUAUGUGGCAUCGGAAAAAAGAAGACUAGCAAAAAAUACAUUGUAUAACAUUUUCAGGUCUUAUGUGAUGGCACCAAAUUGCUUCAUUAAUAAGCAAGUAUAAUUACUAUCUAUCUAUCUAUCUAUCUAUCUAUCUAUCUAUUUCAUCUUUUGUUUUGUUCUAAAACAGUCCACAUUAGGAAAAAUAAAGACAAGCAGCCGUUAGCUGACAUUACAUAAUAAUGAUGCUUAUUGUGUACUAAUGUUUGACCUAAUGGCGUGUCUGUGUUUUCCUUUUGGCACAAGUGUUCUACCAUGUGAUCUAGCCUCUGAUGUUAACAUUUAUUGCAGUGUUUGUGCAGAGAUACAGAGUGUUAGUGAUCACCAUAAAACUGGUUUGCCUUACUGUGCCAUCUGAACCUGUAUCUUUGUUCCAUUCAAGAAAGAAUACAGUUUUUGGAGAUGAGGCAUUAACAAAGGAAACCUUCUGGAUCCUAUCCUGAUCAGAUUGUUCCUAGCUGCUAUCAUGGACAACAAGGAAGAGAAGAAGGAGCGAAGACAGGGAUACUUUGCAAGGUCAGUGAUUCCUUUAGAAAUAUACAAUAGGCACUCAUAGUAAGAAAUGCAAAGGGCAAGUUUGCUACUUAUGCUGUCUGAC
Molecule: long non-coding RNA, 49837 nt
Filed under: Pelobates cultripes (western spadefoot toad)
Lineage: Eukaryota; Metazoa; Chordata; Amphibia; Anura; Pelobatidae
Source: RNAcentral